RNAcentral lists this long non-coding RNA (72595 nucleotides) under Lactuca sativa (garden lettuce). RNAcentral describes it as "long non-coding RNA (LSAT_LNC005750)". Lineage: Eukaryota; Viridiplantae; Streptophyta; Magnoliopsida; Asterales; Asteraceae. The record is from RNAcentral.
ACAGGAGGAGGUGCAUGAUUACGUCUUUGCCUUCCCAUGAUCAUCUGAGGUACCUGAAACAUAACCCAAAACUGUAAGCCCAAAUCUUAGUGAGUUCCCCCAAAAUACCAACACAACACGAAACUAGAAUAAUAACAAUAAACAACAUGCAUACAGAGCCUUCAGUUUGACUGGAAUGCCCCACCGGCCUGCAGUCUACCUGUUACGCUCACAGAAGCUACAACAUGACUGGAACACCACAACGGGCCUUCAGCCUAUCUGGAACAUUCUCCGGGCCUUCGGCCUGACUGGUACGCCCUAGGUUUGUUGGCCUUCAACACAAAGCAUGACCGCCUCAACCCAGCCACACAUACACCGUGUCGAGACACACACACACACACACAUAUAUAUAUAUAUAUAUAUAUAUAUGUGUGUGUGUGUGUGUGUAUGUGUGUGUGUGUGUAUAUAUAUAUAUAUAUAUAUNUACAAUUAAUUAGCCAAUAACUACCAGACAGAUCUUAUAGAUCACUAAGCAUAGCAUCAUCCUAUCUACUGGGAUAUAGAUCACUACAAUACUCAAUCAUAUGGUAAUUAGGAUAACAAUCCAAAGGGCUGACCUUGGUGCCUUCGACCUAUAAGUAUAGUGAGGAAAACUCACCUCACACUGCUGAAUCACACUAAAAGUCUUCGGUUGAUAUCUCACAAAAAUCCUCACACUAUCAUAACAAAAUAAUCAUCCAAUAAUAAUUGGAUUAAAACCAAGGCUAAUAGUCCAUCAUUAGGGUAAAAGGCCACUUUGCCCUUUCCUUAGUUGAGGGUAAGACCCAAGCCUAAAUCUUGAUCCAAAAGGCCCAAAAAUAAACAAUCACUUAAGGCCCAUAAUCAGCCCAAUUUCCAAAUUGGGCCUAAACUCCUACUUGGGCCUUACCCUAAGGUCCAUCUCUUCACUUAGCCCAAAACACCAAUACUCAAAUGGUCCAAAAAGGGCCCAAGCAUCUAAGCCCAAAGAGGUGACCUAAACUUAAAGCCCAGACUCCUAAACCCAAUAGAUUGAGUAUGCGGGGCGUACGCAGUUGUACGCUCAACGUACUUCGCCUGGACCCAUAAACGCGUCGUUGACCACCUACGCCCUGGUACGCCCAGUGUACGUGGUGGCCAUGCAAAACUCCAAAUAAGAGCUUAUUUCAUUCAGUCCAAACGUCCAAUAACCAUAUCCAAGUCCAAAAAGGUGCUCUUAACCACAAAGUUUCCAGCUUUAUGGUUAUACAUGCAUCAUUAACACCCAAAACCAACUUCCUAGUUGGUCUUAACUACUAAGGACCUCUAUACUUUUCAUGCAAGCACUAAAUGAGUCAAGAAGGAAUUUUAAUGACUUAACACAACUCAAAUCUUCUAAAAAUGGUAGCGCCGUUGGUCUUAGAGUCGCAUUUACUUAUUAAGUCCAAGAAAAGGGACAAAACUUAUAUACUCCAUAUGGCUAGAUCUCUAAGAAAUACACAUAAAUUUUAAGACUUUAUACAUUAUGGAGCUUCCCAAAGAGAUGAAGAUAUCAGAUCUACAAGCUUAAAUCCCACACCAAAUUUUCUCAAAUAAUCCUUUCUUCUUUCUUCAACACUAAGAACACACAGACACACUGAAGCUCAUCACACACAACGGCUAGGGCUUCCAAGAUCGACUCAAAGAGCGUGGAGGCUAAAAGGGUGAGGGAAAUGAGGUUAUAAGGGGGAUUAUAUAUGCCUCAACCCUAAAAAUUAGGGUUUUCAAUGUCUGAUGAGUACGCCCCGCUUACAUAGACGUACGCCCUGUGUACUAGGGUGUGCCCUAGUAUGCUAAGCCUACACACGUACGCAUGACAUACUCCCACUCCUUCCAAAUUACGAUCUGCCAUUAGGGUUUCUCGGGGCCACUUCCUUCCAUUACAAGGACCAAAAUGACAUAAAUUAAAACCAUAAAGAUGAAUUGGAAAGUACCUGAAUACCGGGGUGUUACACACAUACACAUACACACACACACACACACACACACUCUCUCUCUCCCUCUCUCCUCGUAAAUUCUUGUGAAAUAGAUGGUGUUUAUCUUCCUGAAAAUUGAUUGAACAUUGUUUCUUGUUGUGAAAAAUCCAUAUAUGUGAAAAUCGAGUAUGUGAAAGUUGGAAUUGUGCUAAUUAUCUUCCUGAAAAUUAAUUUCAGUGAAACUGAAUUUGUUAUUUAUCAAUUUUAUGUUAAGUUCGAUUCCAUAAAAUAUUGUGUUACCGCUAAGGAUCCGGUUUGAGAGGCGUACCUACAGGUACAUCAUAUUAUAAUAUUUUAAUUUUUAUAGUUUAUAAUGAAGCAACUUGUUAAGUGUGUCAAACCCAACAAAUAAAGGGAUACAAAAUGACUCCAAAACACUGUUACUUUGCACUAAAAAUGUAAUACACGAUAAGUAGGGUCGAUCCACAGAAACACGGGACAAAUGCUUAUACCUUUUUGCGCAAGGUACAAUAUGAUCACAAAAGAGGGGGAUUUAAAUGCAAUGAUUCAAAUAAGAGCUAAUUUAAUGAGUAAGCAAUUGAUUAAGUGAAAUAAGUUCAAGAUUUGUAAGUACUCCAACUCUAUGCAAGACAAAUUAGCAAUGUGAUUCCAUGGAUGACAAGAUAUUUAUUUAAUUUUAUCUAAGUUGGUACUUGAAAGUGUUAACAAGCUCUAACACUUCCCAUUCACCAUAAUAAUUAACCAAAACAAGCUCUUUGAUUAAUCCUAACCUUACUAACCUAAUCUAAACAAGCUCUUAGAAUUAGAUUGAAAGGUUGCUUUAAACUUUAUGUGAAUGUUCCCAACAACACUCAAUACUCCUCACAAGCUCGGGAGUGUAAAAGUGUGUGAAAAGAUUUACACGAAAUUCAUUCAAUAGAAAUCAAAUUAGUGCUUGUUACCUAGUCUAAUUUACAAAACAAUUACGGAUUUUUCAAUUAGAUAAAUUGAAUGAUCUAACCCUAAUUCAAAUGGUCAAUAAGAAUCACAAUUAGAAUCAAACAUUCGAUUGAGACAAAAUCAAAUUCACUAGAUAGAAAAUUGAAAGCAAACAUCAAGCCAUAUGAUUGAAAUCACAACUAAGAAGUCAAGACAUGAAGUUGGAGAAACUAGGGUUCUAGCUAAUCAGGGCUAGAACAAGAUCACAAAUCUAGAAAAUGAAAUUAAAGUUCUUACAAAAUGAAAGCAAAUGUUCCCAAGUGUUAAUCAACUUCAAAAUCCUCAAGAAAAUCGAUUUCUCUGCUCUAAAAGUCGACCCCCCUCCCCUUAAAAAAAUCGGUUCCUCCCUUUAAGAAUGGUGAAAAACUGCUUUAAAACCCACAUUUACAUUACACGACCCACGUAAAUUAACACUGUCAUUUACACGGCUCGCGUAAACGCAAAAAUAUACUGCGCAGAAAUCUACGUUUACACGACCCGCGCAAACGCAAGGCUUGCAUUUAUACGGCCGUGUAAAUCUCUGUAAAGCCAAAAUCUUCAUUUAUGUGAUAUCUUGCUCCUCGGUGCUCCGCAAGUCCCGAAAUUUUGUCCGCAACUAUUAUUUACCUCCUCCAACAAGAUCCUACCUCCAAAAGUCCCUGAAAUAUCACAAAAGUAUGUGAAUGAAAUUACCUCAUGAAAAAUCCCGAAAAACAUGCAAAAUGCAUGAAUUUAAGCCUAUAUGCAAUGUACUUUUAUGAAAUAAAGCUACAAAAUGGGUACAUGAAAUGCACCUAACACAACUAUAUGGAAAUAUAUAUAUUUUUUUUUAUAAAUUAUCAUGUUGAUAAAUAGGUUCAUAAAGAAGUAAUUCGAUGGAAACACAAAUCCUUUCCUGACUAUGAAGAUCUUUGCAUUGUUUUUGGAAAAGACCGAGCUCAAGGAAAUAGAGUUAGAGAUUUCAUUGAGAUGUAAAAAGAUGUGAACUUAGAAGAAGAAAUGCAAGAGUCAGAUGAUGAUUUCAUUGAAUAUAAAGAAAUUAGCCAUAGUACAACUAUGAAAAAUGAGAAAACUUCACCAAGUGUUCGUUUCUAAUAAGAUGAAACGUCAUACCAAUGAUGUGUUCCAUAAUGCAGUUGGUUUGGUUACCGAAAGUCUUAAAGAAAUAUCAAAGGACUUGAGUCAAGGUAUUAAAUUUUACAUGAAGAUCAACGAACUGAGUGAGAAGAUCCCUCCGGAGAUUUUGAAUAUGAAUUCAUUAAGUCAAGGUGAGAAGUUCAAACCUUUGACCAAGAUAAUAAAUGAUCCUAGAAACAUACAAAACUUUUGGCAAAUUGAAGAAGGCAAUAGAAAGGUCUGAGUCAAAUACAUUUUGGAAUGGUAGUAUUAUUAAUUAGGAUGUUUAUUAGAAUGUUAAUUCAUAUUUUGGAUUUUUUAAGUUCUUUUGGGAUGUUUCCUAGGAUGUUGCUUAGUAUUUUAGAUUUGUAAGUUUUUGGUAUCUUAGAUAGGGAUGUAUCGAAAAAUUGUUAUGCUUUUUGGGAACGUUAUUAGAAUGCGAAGUGGAAUGACUUUAAGUUAUAAUGCUUACUAACAUAAUUUUCGUAAUAUGUUGACAUGAAUGCUCAAUCAAUAAAUUAAAAUUUUACUAUUUUAAUAAUUUAUAUAAUAUAUGUUUACGUGUAACUUAGAAAACAAAGUAAAAUAAAGCAAAACAGACAAAAAGAUAAUUUUGUCAUUUUACAUGAAUUCCAAUUCCGUUUCCUACGAACCAAACAGAAUCUGAAAUUAAUUCCAAUUUCAUUUCCUGCCAACCAAACAACACAUGGAAUUGGAUUCAAAUUCAUGAAAAAUUCCUUUCCAACUCCAAUUCAAAUUCCUUUAGCAACAUUUUGGGAACCAAACAACACCUAAGAUGUUAAAGAAAAUCCCAGCUAGGGUACUGUAACAUCCCAAAAAUUAUAAGGUAAAAAAUUUAUUUUUAGUUCAACCAUAAACACCAUUUAAUAAUUUCAAUCAUUUAAAGGUACAUCAGACUAAAAUAUUUAUCAUAGUACAAUUCCCAAAAUCAUAGAGUGUGGAAACAUAGGUGGAUACGUUGUGAUCAAGCCAGACCAUUCCCUCACGAACCGAGAUUACCUCAAAAACAUUUCAAACAAAUACCGUAAGCACGAAGCUUAGUGAGUUCCCCAACAUACCACAUACCAUAUAUAUCUACUAUCUCAAGGUUGUGUCGGGUCUAUUUCACCCCUGAGUCCAUUUCAACUCAUGUGUCGGCCCAAGGCGGUACCGGGUCUAUUUCACCCUCGAUCCUAUUUCAUCCCCAAGUCUAUCUCAACUCAUAUGUCGGCACUAGGCUAUAGUGGGUCUAUUUCACCCCACAUACAUAUAGCAAAUAGACAUAUAGACAUACAUACAUACAUACAUACAUACAUACAUACAUACAUACAUACAUACAUACAUACAUACAUACAUACAUACACACACAUACAUACAUACAUACAUACAUACAUACAUACAUACAUACAUACAUACAUACAUACAUACAUACAUACAUACAUACAACAAGAGUCACAAAAGACUACAAACGCAUACAAUCCUAAUGCCCUACGGUAUAGUGAGCAAACUCACAUCAGUCCACUGACAAUCCAACAGAUGAUCAAGCUACUAGACCUAAGAAUCCCCAUGCUAACCAAUCAAAAAUAAUCAUGAUUAAUAAUCAAGUCAUAACCAUAAUCGAGACUGAAUUCACUAAUCCCGACUUCUAGGGUAAAAGACUAUUUUUACCCUUCCCUUCAACUGGCCCAAAGACCAAGGCCUAAACUCAAUAGCACUAAAAGCCCAAUAACCUGCCCAAAUACAAAAGACACCUAAAGGCCAAUAUAGACUCAAUUCCAUAAAGGCCCAACUAAAAGCCCAAAAUGUAAACUAUCCAUCCUCACGUUGUGACCAGUCCUUGGUCACGUCGUGAGAUCCUGUUCGAUCCAAUCCAACUCAUCCCGACUCAGCUUAGUCAAUUCAUACAUGAAAAGUCACCGGAGCUAACCUCACGUCAUGAGAAUCCUCCUCCCAUGUCAUGAGAUGCAAGAAGCUAACCAGAAAUGGGGUCAUUCAAUCCUCACAUCAUGAGACCCCAAGUCCAAGUCGUGAGAACAGUCUGAAGCCAAAAGUCCAACUUUUAAGUCCUUAAUUUGUUAAGCCUUGUACCCAAAUUUCCAGAGGGUCUUAUAACUCCAUUAUGUACUGGAAAGUCGAUGCUUUUGGGACAUAUAUUUCCAAUACACGUCUAAAUCUCAUUUGGGUCAAAAGUUAAAGAAACGACAUCUAACUUUCAUGCAAGGUUCCAGAACUCAACCAUUCACUAGAUCUGAACUCUAUAUCACUCUUAAGAUCCUAAUAACACAUAAAGUUGCCAACUUUAUGCUUUCUAUUCAUCAAACUUACACAACCAAGAAGAAAAGUGGCAAAAAACUUAGAUCUAUCUUCAUUAAACAAUAAAGGAUGAAUCUUUGAUACUCAUAAUGGUUCAGAAACAAUGUAAGAUGAUGAAGAUGAAGAUUCCUUGCAAGCCUCAACACAAGAUCACCUUCUUCUUCUUUUCUCCUUCUUCCAAGCCAAUAAAAGCUCCAAAAUGAACAAAGAUCAAGCAAGGAUGAAGACUAGGGUUUUUCUAAGGUGCAAGAGGAUUUGGGGCUGAUAAGAAACCCUAAAAUGAGUUUAGAGAUGCUUAAAUAUGAAGGAAACCGUAAAAUGAUCGUGGGCUUGGACUGCAUCAGCUUUCACGUCGUGAGCCUCUAUGUCUCACGUCGUGAUACUAGACCCGAACAAAGGUUUUCAUUUAGCCUAUUGUCACAUCGUGAGGCUCCUUUCGUAACGCCCUGUGUAGAAUCAUUUCCUAAUGCGGGGCGGUGACCCGAAGAUCGGUUAUGAUCAAGCUUGGGGUCUUUGAGGGAAUGAGAUUCAGACCCAUUUGGGUGUAGGUGAUGUAAGUUGGAUGAUUUGGGAGUUCAUUUUGUGUUUUGGAGCCAAGGGGUUUUUCAAUAAAGUGUCAGUUCGGGCUUUUAUGAAAAUUGGAUUUUUGUUAGGGAAGUUUUAAGGAAAGUAUGAGUUGAUUGAAGUGUAGAGCUUCUUGUUACCUCAUCGUGGAUAUAUGGAUCGUCAGAAACGAACUUAUAACAAAGAAAAUUAUGGCCUUCGGAAGAUUGUAGGGUUCAAGGCUAAGGUCAGUAUGCAGGGUGUACAUUAGUGUACGUUGGGUGUACUAAGCAGUUGGAUCAUGACACUUAAGGGAAAUAUGCUAAGUGUAGUGGGAGUACGCCGGGCGUACUCCAGAUUCAUGCAAACCCUAAAUGAGGAUCUUCGACCCUAUAUAAGCUCAUUAUCUCUUCACCAAACCCUAAUACCUUCAUCCUCCAUCACUUUUUAACCCUAGAUUCGAACCCCAAGUGCAUUUUGGUGAUUUUGAGCUUGGAAGUGUUUUGUGAGUGUUUUGUGAAGAAGAAGAAGAGAAUCACUUGGAGGAGUGGCUUGAGCUUAUAGAUAUAGUAGUAUCUUCCCAUUUGCAAGCUCUCUAAGGUAAAAAGCUUAUACCUUGAUGUUCAUUUUGUUUGGAUCUGCUUUGUGGUGUUUCUUUGAUAUUAUUGAGUCCCUUGAAGUAAAGGUGAGCUUUUGAUCUACUCCAGUAGUAGUGGAUGUUAGAUCUAAGCUCCAAUAAGGUCUCUUGUUCAUAAAAAUGGAAACUUUAUGGGAGUUGUUGGUCCAUGCAAGUAUUAAGACCCUUAUUAAGUUCCUUUCUAAGUGUUGAGUCCUAAUUAAGGCAUGUAUAUGAGUAAAGUUGGCAACUUUAUUGGUUAAGACCUUGUCUAGGGGCCAGAUCUAUGUUUUGGACAUCUUGGAUUAACCCAUUAAGAGCUAAAUGUGGGUUUUGGACUUCGACGAGUACAUUGGGCGUACGAGGAGGUACAGCCAGCGUAAUGUUGGGGGUACACAUCAGACGUUUGUACUUUGUGUAUCAUCGUCGUGCACGUAGGGCGUAUGUCUCGAGUACGUAGGGCGUACUCCCUAGUUCAGCAAAAAAUUGGGCCUUUUGAGUUUGGCCCUUGUUGGGGCAUUGGGCUUUUGUUUUUGGGCCAUGGUUAGGUUGAGGAAUUUCUUGGUAAUGGUCCCAUGAGAGUUUUAGGCCCAAUUUGGAAGUUGGGCCAUAUUCAGCUUGGGUUGCCAUCUUGGGGCUUCGGUGUUUUUGGGUUGGACCUUGUUUUUGGGCCAAAUGAGAAAUGGAUAAUUUGGGUUUCGGUUGAUUAUUGAUUGAGUUUUGUAUUUAUUGUUUGUUGACGCGAACUCAUCCGGUUCUGCGACCUGAGCAUCCAUUAUUUAUCAGCGGAUUGAGAUGAGUUUCCUCACUGUGUUUAGUGGGUUGAAGGGACCAAUUCCAGACCAUGGCUUAUAUGUUAGGAUGCUAGAAUUUUGCGCGACUCUUGCAUGUGUUAUGGUAUGCUUACCGGGCAUGACCCGAUGCCAGGUGGGGCCUAAUGAGUAUAUUGUAUGCUAGUUAUUUGUAUGUGUUUUUUGCUUACUGUGCAAGACUCGAUGUUGGGUGGGGCUUGAUAACUGUAUGAUAUGCUAUUGUCUUCGUGAAUAUCACAUGUGUUUGUAUGGUUAUAUGUUUAUAUGCUUAGAUGUGUAUCGGGCGAGGGCUGAUGACUGACAGAUCUGUAUACCGAGCGGGGUGCGAUGUCGGGCGGGGCUCGAAGAAGGGUGGGGGCCUAGUAUGUGGUUAUUAGUUAUAGUAUGUGGUAUUUUGUGGAACUCACUAAGCUUCGUGCUUACGACUUUAUGGUUAUGAUUUCAGGAACCAUCGGUUUAAAAGGGAAGGGCCUGACUUGAUCGCAACACAUCCACCCAUGUUUUCGCAUUAUGUUUUUUUGGAUUGUACUCUGAUAACCAUUUUCUUAUAAAAUUACCUUUGAAUAAUUGGCUAGGAAGAUAUUGAAUGUUGAAUUAAGGAUAAUUAAUGUUUUGAUUGAAUUAAAAAUGAAAUUUUUACCUCAUAAUUUUGGGUUGUUACAAGUUGGUAUCAGAGCCUUGGUUUGAGGAAUUUGGGCACACUCUUGGGUGUGACUGAACUCUAACUGAGGAAUUGUUAAUUUUUUAUAAAAAGAAAAUGAGUUCUAAAAAGAUUUUUCUAAAAGAGAAGAAAUUUCUUAAAGGAUUUUUGUAAAGACACAGGGAGUGUGGUGCAUGCAAUCGGCCGAGCUCAAGUAAGUGAUUCCCAGAAUACCCAUACAUGUUUUUUAUGAUGAUAUGUUAUGAGAAUUGCAUGCUAGGAUGAGGCUAGGGAUACUUUCAGGAAUUGGAUGAUAGAUCGGCCUUAUAUGUGAUGCCUUGUGGCCUAGGAACCAUUGGAUUCUAUGCUAUAUUAGGAAUAUGUAUUGGUAUCAAUAAUUGCUAAGUGUAUGCUUUAAAAAUUGUAUGCGGUUAGGAUCAUAUAGCCCUAGAAUGAUUGAUUUGGCCUUAUUUUCUGUUCCUCGUUUGGUUGUGGUCCUGGGGUAGAGUCUUUUAUUCGACAGUCUAUUUGAUCAUGUAUUGUGUAUAAUUUGCAUGCAUAAGGUAAUCGGUAGUGAGAAUGGAAGUUCCUAGCAUGAGUUGUAGUAUGUGAGUUUGAAUGUUCUUGUUCAUCCAAUGGAUUAGAGUGCUACUACAAGAAUAUUGAUUGCUUUGUGGAAAUCUUAAGUGAUGUGAGUUAAUUAUUAAGUGAAUAUGUUAAGUCACAUGUGACAAAGGUUGAAUAAUCUCAGAGUGAUGGAUUUGAACCUAUUGUGCGAUUCUCGUUUGUGUCUAACCAUUAUUGGGAUGCGUCUUUUACUUGAAGGAUUAUCUAAGCUUUGUUGCAUGUGAUUGUAUUCAUGAGGUAGUUAACUGACAUUAUGGGGAGUUCUACAGCAGUUGAUGGCAGGGAGAGGUCAAGAACAUAGGAAAGCCUAGGAAGUGCUUCAAUAGGUUUAGUUGUGCUAUUUAGCGAUCUUUUAGAGUAUCUGUUAAGGUGCAAAGUCAUGCUUGGAUGUAAUGUUUUAGGCUUUCCUCUUUGUAUGUGUAAAUGGGUUGAGUCUUUCCUAUAAAUAGGAAGUGAGUGACUCCCAUUAAGUAAGGAAUCAUUUGGAGUGUUAGACUAGAGAGAGAAUUUGUAUACAAGACCCAUUUAUAUAAUCUUUCUAGAUCUAAUAAGAGCUUACAAAGAUUUAUUUACUCCAUGUGUUCUUGAUUUUACAUGAUGAUUCACUAGAUCUUUCAUAUUCCGCACAUGCCAUCAUAAUCACCACAACAACAAUUGGUAUCAGAGCGGGUGUUCUUGAUUUUCAUCAAGAAUUGAUCCUUGAUGGCUAUUUUGAUUUGGUGAUUCUUAUUGUUCAUUGAUCUUCGUGUUUAGAGAGUGUUUUUGUGUUCUAGAAGUCGAAUUUUUCUUUGAUUUGAUCCAUAAUUCGACUUUCUCUCUCUAGAAUACUUGUUUGUAUCACUUUAUCUCUCUAGAAAACCCAUUCAAAAUCACUUUCUCUCNUCAUAUUCACUUUCUCUCUCUAGAGAUCUCCUUGAUUUACACUUUCUCUCUCUAGAAAACUCAAGUUCAUAACAUUUGAUUCAAAAUAAAAGAAGCAAUUAUGGAGCAAUGGUUGGUUCGGAAUGAAAGUUUUCUAUACGUAUACACUUCUUUUGAAUGCAUUCUUUAUCGAAUGACUGUUGGAUUGCAAAGUGAAGAUGCACUUAUGUCAAAUGGAGAAAGGGAUGGAAAGGGAGAUUUCAUUGGUUAUCCAAUUUAUCAAAACAAAGAUUUGUUUGAUCGAUUGAUUACAACAUAUCAAGAAAGACGAAGAAAUAAGAGGAAUGGUGAAGUCAUAAAAGGAAUUCUUCUUGCUAAUUGUAAACCGGGAAGAAAUAGACUUGAAUAUUAUGCAAAUUGUCGUGAAGCUCAAGAACAUGUUCUUGAUGAUGUUCAUCGUGUUCAUGAUGUUCAAGGAAAAGAAGUUCAAAACAAUGGAGUUCAAUGUGAUGUUCUUGAUGUUCAAGAAAAAGGAGUUCAAGUUGAUUCUCAUGAUGAAAAAGUUUUUUGCUCAAUUGGAGUUCAAACCGAUGAUAUUUUGUGUUAUUGUGAUUCGUUUGAAGGAAUGAUUCCUUAUCGGAAGCCGGUGAUCCAAGAAAAUCACAAGUAUCAAACUCCAAAAGAUUUGAUUCAAACUCAAAAUGUUCAUGUUGUUGAAAGUGGGUUUGUUCAUGAAGUCAAGUCUUCAAGAUGCAAAAAGAUGAGAAAGAAAAAGAAGAAGAAGAUGAAUCGGAAGAACAAGCGGGUUUACUCACAAAAAUCGUCAUAUGUUGUGAAGCCAAAAUCCGUGAAGCAAAUUUGGGUUCCAAAGCAACAAUAUCCAAAGGUUGCAUUGAAUUUGAAGUUAAAACCCAAAAGUGUUGGUGGUUCUUUUGAAGAUGUUCUUGGAUCGUUGAAGAACAUGAAGAACACGAAGAACGAGUUGUACAUCUCGCAUGGUGGGUGGUCCAAUGUUCGAUUUGGAGAUUUUCUCAUUCCGACAAAAGAACCAAGAUCUUCCAAAUUUGAUUCGUUCGUUGAAAACGGAACUCGAUUCGUCAAAAAGGUAUCUCAAAUUCUCAAAUGGAUUCCAAAACGUCCAUGAUUUCGAUUCGUAUUUUGCGUUUUUCAUUUUUGAUCGGUUUGCCUCAUUGGAUCUAAACUGUUUCAACCCCAUUCUUGAUCCAAUUAUUUUUUUUUAUCAAAACCAAAAUCAUAUUCUCAUGUUUCUUUUGCAUUUCGAAAUCAAAAUUUGUUUUGUUUUGGUUCGAAACACUUACUAUUCUGCUCAUAGAUCCAAAUAUUAAGCCCACAUUAAAAUCUCGAUUACUGUUCAUGUUAAUUUCUCUUAGCCCAAUCCAACAAUCUAAUAAUUUUUGAUGUUCAUUACUAAUCUUGAGCCCAAAUCUUGAUAUUUCAAUUUAUCAAUCCAUUGAGCCCAACUUGAUAUCAGUUCAUUGAUCAUUAUCUUGGUAUCGUUAUCUCAUAUUCUCGGAUUUCCGACUUUGAUUCAACAAAGUCAAAAUUGAUAAAAUCGGAAUUUGAUUUGCGUUGAGUUGGAAUCAACGUUUACUUGCUAGUUCGUUGAGUUAGUUGAAGACGAAAGCAAUCUUGGAACUGAAAUCUGUUUCGAUCGUAUUGGCGGUUCAAUUAUCUAUGUCGACGAUUGAAGCAUUGAGAUCGAGGGUCGAGAAAUUGAAGUGGGACUGUGAAUUGAUAUUGAAAUUAAAGCGUUAACGUCGAUGGUCACCUUUAAUUUUGAUGGAGUAAGAAAUCGAUGUUGGUUAACAGAUGGGUUGAUAACAAAUAGAGGAAAUAAUUUGAUUGUUGAUUUUGAUAGUUGUAGGAGUUGAAUGCUAAAUUCAUUUGGUAUCGACAGUGAAACGUUAAUGUCGACUACUUUGGGUUGAAAUCGAUUGAAUUUGGUGUGCUUUACUGAUUCGUAAUCGAUGGAAUUUUGGGGUCAAUUUAUUGAAAAUUUUCGAAGCCUUAGUUCACUGUAAGUUGUUUGCAGAUUGUCGACUGGGAAAUCGAUGUUUGCAAAAGAAUGAAAUUUUGAUUUUGGGUUGAUUGGUGAUGUAUGAAGGGUUCCUGUAUGGACGAUGGUUUGGAGUCGAUCAAUCAAAGCCUUGGUUAUAUGAUCGAUUGGUUGGAGUUGGAUGUGAUAAUGAUUCGAAGGGUUGUGAUGUUAAGAACGAAUGAAUUAUUUGAGUACUUGAACAAAAAGCGAAUACCUGUGAUUUGGAAUAGUUGGAUUUUGAACAAAGGGUUCAUAUAUGAUCAAAUUUUGAUUUGUGAUUUCGAAUGUUUGAUGUCGGAUCAGAGUUAGUUUCUUGAAGCCGGAAUGAAUUUGGAAUCCGUCAACAUUCAACUGAAGUGUUUUGAUAGAUCUAAUAGUUUGAAGGAUUAGAUGAGAAAGUUCAAUUUUUUAUGGAUCGAAGAUUUGUUUGGAUUUGGUGAUGAUAUACAAAGGGUUCCAGUGUGUUUGAUCGAUUUGGGUUGAUAGAUUCGAAGGGUGUGUUGAUUUUAGAUUCGAAGGGUUAAGAAUUGAUUUGGGAAGAGAAGACCUGUAAAACGAGAUCUGUGAUUUUGUAUUUGGGGAAAAAACGAAGCCUUGGUUAUUUAAUCUUGAGGUUAAGAAACGAAGGGUAUAUGGCUGAAUCUACGAAGGGUCGGUGAUUGAACAAACGAAGGAUGGUUACUGUUCAUAGACAGGUCUUCGUAUGCUUCGUACUUCGUGAAUUGGAGUCUUCGAAAGAAUAGAGCAAAUGAUAAAGUUUCGAAAACAGCCCCUGAACCUUCGAUUUGUUGACACUUCAAAAAUUAACACAAGUUUCGAAUGAUUGACACUUUUCACCCAAAUUCGAAAUUUUUUGGAAGCUUAGAAUUUUGUGGAAUCUUCGUAUGAAUUGUGAACAAAGAGCAGAAUUUCGAAGAUGGUCCCUGAAACUUCGAAUUUUGUGCAGUUUUCAGCCAAAUUCGAAAAAGGACUAUAUUUUGAUGAAAAUUGAAGAAAGUGCAUUUCAGGCCCCUACAGUUUGUGCAAAUUGACGCUUUCUACCCAACUUUGGAAAAGGGGGAGAGUUUUUCAUAUUUGGCUGUUUUGGGCGCAACGGGUCCCUGCAAGUUUCAGAAAGUGACAAUUUCUACCCGAAUUUUGAAAAAUCUUGCAACUUUCACUCAAAAAGUCAAAAUUUUUCAUAAAUUGGAAAUUUUUGUGGCUUUUUCGUGAUUGUUUUUUCGUGCAAGAUUUUUGGUGAUUCAUUUUUGGUACACAUCAAGGGGGAGUAUUGUGAAGACUAUUCCUCGGGCGCUUCUCAUCCUUAGUGGGUUUUAUAAUCAUUUUUUGAUUAUAAAAAGGGGGAGAAUGAUGGGUAUUCGAAGCUUCUCGGGAUUGUCGUAUAUUCAUUUGCGGAUUUGAAGACCGGUGUUACUUCGAGGGGGAGUUUGGUCUUGAUCGCGCUAGCUCGUUGGAGAUUAAAGCCGGACAUCCAAUCCUAACUUUGAGGGGGAGAAUGUUAGGGUGCAAAGUCAUGCUUGGAUGUAAUGUUUUAGGCUUUCCUCUUUGUAUGUGUAAAUGGGUUGAGUCUUUCCUAUAAAUAGGAAGUGGGUGACUCCCAUUAAGUAAGGAAUCAUUUGGAGUGUUAGACUAGAGAGAGAAUUUUUAUACAAGACCCAUUUGUAUAAUCUUUCUAGAUCUAAUAAGAGCUUACAAAGAUUUAUUUACUCCAUGUGUUCUUGAUUUUACAUGAUGAUUCACUAGAUCUUUCAUAUUCCGCACAUGCCAUCAUAAUCACCACAACAACAAUAUCGGUUUGAGAAGAUGACUUAAAGGAAUUGGGAUGAUUCUCGAGGAAAGUUUGGAUAGGUGUGGAAGGUAGUAUUGGGCCCAUACUACUGAAAGCACAGGAUCCAUACUUGAAUAGGGGAGAGUCUUGGAUAAUCUAGGAAGCCUGUGGUAUGUGGAUUAUUGGGUAUGUUCUGAUUAUCGGUAUGAUUGUUUUGAGUCGCUAUGGCGAUGAGCACACUAGGAGGAGGUUCAGGUUUUGGUCCAAGGUCAGGUGCAGGUAACGAGUCGAUUGAUGAGCAGAUGCGGGGGUUCAUCUCGUCGAAUAUUACCUGUGGUAUUUUGGGAGCAUACUCAUGUGAUCUUUGGUACGGUCAAGGAGGGGAUUUUGGAUGAGUGUCUGGGCGCAUUUCGUACCGAGGUUAUGGCUAUUGUUGGAGCUCGAUCUCUUUCAUUCCGUAAGUUCCAUGCUUGUGGAGGUCCCAAGUUCUUUGGGGAGAAGGACCCCAUUGCCAGUAAGAGAUGGUUAGCAGAUAUGGAUAAUGCUUUCAAGACGAGUUUCUACCCCGAGGGUUCGAAGGUCAGAUUUACCUCCUGUCUUCUGAAAGACAGAGCCCGAGAUUGGUGGGAGGAGGUAGACUUCACUUUGGGAGGCGAAGCCCUAGAGACGAUGACUUAGGUUGAGUUGUGACCCUGUUUAGGGCCAAGUUUGCACCAUCUAUUGAGAAUUAACAGUUGGCGAGGGAGUAUCAGGACCUUCGCCAAACGACUGUGACUGUGGCAGAGAUCACUGCCAAGUUUCGGGAAUGGGCUUUGUUGGUUCCAUAGUAUGCAGAGGACCAUGAGAUGAAGAAGGUAAAGUAUCAUGUCAUGUUGAGGGAUGACAUCAGGGAGUUUGUGAGUCUGUCAGGGUGUGAGACCCUGAAUGCUAUGAUUGCUAGAGCUUGGGGGUGUGAGAUUGAUUUAGAGGACCUCAAGAAGAGGAAGCCAAAGUAGACUCAGAUUUUAGUGUACUAGGUGAGGAGGCCCAAGACUCAGGAUUCACGUUUGAUAGACCAUCAGGGUCGGGGCCGUUAUACCAAGUGUGGGAGGACCCACGAGGGAGGAUGUCGGGGGACACGCCGAGGAUGUUUCAGUUGUAGUUAGAUGAGUCAUUUUAGUAGGGCCUUUGAGGAUCCAACGGUUGUGAGGGUAGGACGGGAGCCCCAAUAGCAAAGAUCCGAGCAUUGCAGUGUCAGUCAGGGCAGGCCAGAGUAUUAGCAGAUGAUUUUGCGUGCAUGUUAUCUUUUGCUUUCUUCAUGCUUAUAAUCAACAUUUAUAUUGCUUUAGAAUCUUGUAUUGGUUUGGUAAGCAUUAUCUUUGGUUUAGUUCUCCAGUAUAGAUUGGGUUAUAUCAUCAAGAAUUGUUAUAUGCCAUUUUUCAUGCUGAGAUUCAUUAGUGGGUCGUAUCUUACUGAGCGAGUUUCAGCAGAUGCUUUUACAGGCAUGUUAUCUUUUGCUUUCUUCAUGCUAAUUAUCCGUAUUUAUAUUGCUUUGGAAUCUUGUAUUGGUUUAGGUAAGCAUUAUCUUUGGUUUAGUUCUCUGUUAUUGAUUGGGUUAUAUCAUCAAUAAUUGUUAUAUGCCAUUUUGCAUGCCAGGAGUCAUUAGUGGGUCGUAUUUUACUGAGUGGGUUUUGGUUUGUUCGGUUGUGGUUCCAGUUCUUUGAAGGGGUCACUUCAUGGGUAUCGUUAGAAGGUCUAUGGUCGGAUUAGCUGGUUGGUUUCCAUAAUGAAGUCAGAGUUCAUUCGUGUUAGCAUUGGUGGCGGUAGGAUCGACAGUCGUCCAUGGAAGGACCUUUGGGUUCAAUCGCUACCAUUGCUAGGGAAGGAAUGGAAGCAAGAAGAUGGUGGUGGUAGUCACAUGGGUCUUUUUGGUCACUGGAAGAGCCAGGGGAAUUUUAUAAUCGCAAGGUUGAAGAUGGUUUGAAUUCAGAGACGCUUCUGUGGAUGGGAAGUUAGAGUAAGGAUUCUCCAGUUCAGAGCAAGGGUUAUGGUCUUUGUCACCAACAUAAAGGACUUAAGAAUUUGGUAUUGUAUCAUAGGAAUCUAUUGGGGUUAUUGUGCUUGCUAAGAUUUCGGGGAGUAUUUAUCCGGAUUUCAAGAGUUGUGCGAUCAUCAGGAUUGGAUAGUAAGGAAUGCGAGUUCUUGGUAAGCUCAGGUCGUCAACGAUGCGAUUUAUAAGGAGGUAAGAUGCGUUGGGAAUCCAUCAAAUUUUGUGGGUUAGGAGAGCUUCGACGAAUCCAUGUGGAGGAGAACCAUUCAAAUUUUUGGAAGUUGAAUCAGGUGUGAAACUAGGGUGAGUUUCACAUCCCAGUCGGGAGGGAAGACAACUCAAGUGGGUGUCUGGAUUGUAGUUGUGUAGGUUGGGAGUUCAAGAAACUUCCAACAACUGUUUGGCGUCUUCUUUGUGAUGGAUAUCAGGCAUGUGGAUGGAUCCAGGUUGGGGGUUAUGUUAGAGCCUCGCUGCCUGUUCUUGUUUGAUAAAGGCUUUUGGGUUCGAAGCAUGCCCCAAAAACCUGAUUUGGGUACAAUCGGAUGCGGGUUCAACGCAGGAUGAUUGUGAUUGAUAUGGUAAAGGUGUGGUAAGACCAUAGAUGGUGAUCAAGGCGGGAUAGAUGUGUCAUAAGACUACGAGGUGGUCGUAGCGUUCACUGGGUUGACAGAUAGUAUGGAAGUGUUGUAAGUUUGCGAUGGGAUCGGAACAUUCACCAGAUCGAGGUAUACCAUCAUGUUAGAUUAGGUGUCUAAGCCCAUAACUAUAAUUGAUAUGUACUUGACCCGAGAGUAGCAUGGUUCAUUUGGGUUGCCUUCACCAGAACAAUCUGAUAGGAUGGAUAUUUGAGAAAGAGGUUAUUUAUGAUUUAUUAAUAUAUUACAAGUAUAAUAUAUUAAUUGUGAAAUCAUAUUAUUUAAUUAGUAUUGAUCAAGAAAUAAUUUGGAAUUAAUUUAGUGAUCAAAAGAGACUAAUUAAAUUAACGGGGACUGAUUAUGUAAAUCAGUGAUAUAUAUAUAUAUAUCACAAUAUAGAGCAGCCCUUUUGAGCCUUUCCCUUCUUUUUCUUUGAGCUUGGNUAUAUAUAUAUAUAUAUAGUGUUUAGGCUAUUGAUCCAUGUUGGGCUAAGUUUUAUGUAAGUAUCCACGAAGAGUUAGCCCACAUGGGAUAUGAAUCAUAACCUAAGUGUAUGGAUUAGGGUUUACCCAUGACUCUUGCAAGCCUACACUAUAUAUAUGUUAUCCCUUAGCCAAAAUUGUUGACCAUGAGCAUCACACUUGAGGUGUUAAGCUCUUGAGAGGCCAAGAACUAGAAACUACAUCAAGAGGUAUUCAUCUAACUUGAUUUUAUAUGGUAUAUCCUCUAUGGUAUGCUAAUUAGGAUGUAUGCUUUGGAAAUUUCAAAAUUGCAUGUAUAAUUAGAGAAAACAUAGAUCUAAAGCAUCUAGGGUUGCAUGUGCACCAUAUGAGUGUUAUAAUGCUUAAAACCCAGCAGUGGUAUCAGAGCCUAAGAUUUUUUUCUGUUAUAUUUGAUGUUUGGUUAUUUUUCGAAGCUGAAAAUUUGAUUUUCUGGCCUCUGACUGAUGGACUCGUCAAGUCCAAUGCCUGACUCGACGAGUUCACUCACUAAAAGGGCAACUCGACGAGUCCAGUUCAUGUACUCGUCGAGUAGAGGCUUCUGGUUGCAAAAUUUCAAGUUUUUGGCCAGAAUUAGAUUAGGAUCAUUACCACAAACUGUUUUAUAUCAUAAAAAUUUUAUUUUCUAAUUUGGUGAUGAUGAUCCUCAUCCAAUUAAAGGACAAUUGUCAAAUUUUAAGAUAAUAAGAUAAUUAUUUGUAUUAUUUGAUAUGAAUUGCCUUGCUAUGAGUUCGAUUAGAUCAAUAGUGAAAUUAUAUGAUAAUGUUGUAAGUUAAAAUUGAUCUAAGUUGUUCUCGAAGUGAGUUUUGUAACUUGUCCUCAAGUUAUAUGAAGAGUCUCAUUCAUGAACAUUAAAACUUAUGAAUUUUCAUAAGUUAUGGAAAUGAAAAGGUUUUCAAGAGUUACAAAACUUGCCCUCAAGUUUUGGUAUUUGAAAAGUCUCAAAUUAUGAAAACAUUAACUCUAGUAUUUGAAAGGUUUCAAAAGAUGCAACUCUUGGGUUCAUAACUGAAAAAUUAAUUAAAUAGUUUUAAUUUUGAAUUUUUAAUAACCUAGAUGCUUUGAAUAGUUCAAUUACACCUUAUGGAAUUUAUUAAAUUAAUUAAAGUGUUUAAUUAAAGGUGAAGAUUAAUAAAUCCAUAACAACAUGGUUUAAGUUUAAUUAAAUUAAGAGUAUAAUUUAUUAAAAUAUUAAACCUCCUAGUAUUUUAACUGUUUAAAAUACACCCUUAUACUAUAUAAAAUUAAAAGUUUAAUAUAUUAUAUAUGUAUAAGUAAAAGGUCAGUCUUACCGUUAGUAGGCCUCAUUCACGAAGCCGGUCUAUAAAGGGGGUAUAAGGUUACUGCCUAUAAAAUGGUGGUUUAAUGGGUGUCCACUCUCACCCACCGCUUCCUUGACUGGUGGAGGGUCGUUAGCCGAACGGGUAGGAUAGGACAUUAAUUAUCAUUAAAAGUAUAAUGAAAUACCAAGUAACUAAAUACUUUAUAAAUUCUCAAUCUUAGUUACUUAGCAAAAAUGUGAAUUUGAUGCAAACCCUUGAAAUUGCACAUUGCACCUUAUUAGUCGUUAGUGGAGCGUGUAUGGUUAACUGACACACUAAUAUGGGACUAAUGAAGGAUGAAAAUGAGUAGCUCGAUGUUAAUCAUGGAUCAAUGGAGCUUGUGUGGUUAACCGGCACACUGAUUAGGUGAUUUGUAACAUUAAGUGUACCAAGCUAAUUUGCAUGGUUAUUCACACCUUGUUUGUGAUCCUCGGCAUCCUAGUCACAAACUUGAAGGGCAUAAUCGAGAUUUAAACAUGUCAUUGAAAAUUUCAAUGAAUCUCAAAGAAUCUAGGAAUGUCAAUUCAUUUAAAACCUAAAAUUCAUAUUCGUUUUUCAUGGUGGAAAUUGGUAAAUCGUCAUUUACCUACCUUCAAAUAUUUUACAAUUGGAUUAUGGCAUCCGUCUUCCGAAUUGUAGAAUAUUGUGUUGGGUCCUAGCCUUAAUAUUUCAUUUUGGGUGUUAUAUUAAGGACUUAAAUCAACUAACUUGAAUUUCUCACAUGUAGAUGUCUAGUUCAGACAACUAUGAUCUUCCCGAAUCUUUUAGAAAAAGCUUUCCACAUAAAGAUGAUAUUCCUCAUUAUCAUACUUCACUUCCUCCACCUCCUCCAAUUAUUCUCCCUAACCCACAAGUUCAAAGAAUUGAAAAGUUCAAGGUCACUCAAGCCCUAUUGGCUAGCAAACACCAAGAUGGAAGGUCUGUGUGUGCACAUGUCUUGGAGAUGAAGUCACACAUUGACAGGCUGGGAAUGUUACGAGUCAUUGUGUCAAGGAAGUUGGCUGUUGACUUGGUUCUUCAAUCACUUCCUAAGUCAUAUGGCGAGUUCAUUAAAGAUACUAUAUGACAUACCACGACAUAUUCCUUAUCAAUCUUACCUAUUUUCUAAUUGCUGCUGAAUCAGCAAUGAUGUGACGCACUGGUAAUGCAAAUUUGAUUGGAAGAUCUACUUCCCAAACUUCCAUGGAUAUUGACAAUGGAAACAUUGGAAGUCCAGAAAAGAUUUCUCUUUCCAAGGGAAAGGGAAAGGCUAAGUCUGAGAUUGUACCGUGUACCAUUCCAAAAGAAUUUGUUUGCUUCUAUUGCCAAGAGAAGGGGCAUUGGUUGCGAAGCUGUCGUAUCUAUCUGAAGGACCACAAGAAUGGUAAAGUCAAAAAGUUUGACUCUGGUUCAGUUAAGUCCACUAUCUAACUCUAAUAAGUUCUUGUUUGUAGAUUCUUAAUACAUGAUGUGAUAAGAUUACAUUUUGAUGUUUUGUAGGAUCAAAGGAAGAUUAAAGGAAAAGAAUGUUGAGUCUGAUUGCGAAGAGAUGGAUUUCAAUCGCAUGAUGAUCGGAUUUUUGAGCUGAUGCUAGAAGUUAUGAUAAAUUUGCUUAGGAAUAUGUAGUAACAUAGUUUCCAUUUGUAAUUGAAUUAUAAGUACAGAUUUAUCCUCAUUUUGUAAAUAAAGAUAAAUUUUGAAUUUUAUCUUGUUUUAUAUUUCCUUGCAACGACAUUUGUGAAAAUUGGUGUUUAUACAUUAUUAGCAAUAUUGAAAAUGGAUUUGAUUCUUUCGUUUGUGGUAGUGUCAUAAUUUACCAAAUAAGGAAAAAAUUUCAUCACCCAAGUUUCAAUUGAAUAGAAACUUGGAAUCAUGCAACUUGUAUUGUAUGAUGGAUGAGAAUCUUCGUAUUUGGGAAAUUAAGACUAAUUCAUUGUUCACAUGUAUAUGUGAGUCAAGUGAAGGACUAGGGGAUCAGGUACACUUGGUUGUGCGUUGGGCAGGUCCACCACAAAGAACGAUAAGACUAUUCGUUAUGAUUUACUAAAAGUUUAGUAAAGAUGGUUAUACUUACAAGAUUAAGUGUAAUUCUGGAUCAUUGAAAAAGUUUCAAUGUGUAGCAGAUUGAAUAAGAAGAAUCAAAUCAGCAAAAAGAUAAAAGUUUCUCCAAUCUGAAAAGAAAGGAGAGUACUUGAAUAUCGCGUUUUAUGAUCAUCUUAGUGAUUAUGAAACCAUAUCACAAAUUGAUCCUCAAAGGACAUCUUAGUGCAUUUGUAUGGCUAAGAAGAGGAAUCAUGAAUUGUUAAAAUUAGGAGUGUUCAUUUGGAUGGAUCGGUUUAAUCCGAUCCGAUCAAGUGAAUCCAAAUUAAUUUCGGUUUUCAAAACGUAGAUCCAAAUAGUCCAAACUAAAUUCAAAUCUGAUCCGAUCCAACCAAAUUAUAAUCCAGUUGGAUCGGUUUUCUACAAUUCGGUUUUCAAGAAUCAAGACAUUUCAGCAAAUAUAUAACUUUAGUAUUAACUUACUCUAUAAUAUAAACUAAAAAAUAUUGUUUAAUUAGUUGUGAACUAAAACUUAUAAAUAACUAUCAAGAAAAAUAUAUUAUAGUUUACUACUUUAUAAACAAUUUUUUUUUCAUAAGAAGUACAUAUUAAAAUACUAUAAUAGAUAAAAAAAAAUUAAUAUAUUAAAAGAAUAAUUUAGUAAGUUUAUAAUUUAUUAAAGAUAUAUAUUAAAAAGAACAAAAUAAUAAAUUGUAAUUCGGUUGUUUUGGACUAUUCGAUUUUUACUUUACAAACCAAAACCAAUCCGAAAUCCAAAAUAAUAAUUCGGUUUUGUUAAAAACCAAUCCAAAAAUCCGAAUAUCCGAACCAAAUAGUCCGAUCCAAAUUGUCCAAUUGUAAAAUUCGGUUUUAUCAAAAUAGUGAACAGUCCUAGUUAAAAUGGUUAAAUCAAAAGGUGAAUCAUACUUCGUUACAAAAUCAAGUCUUAGAGUCAUACUCCAAGAUUGUGUCUUGAGUGACAUAUUCUUAAGAAAGGUUUGUAACACUUAUCAAAUGUAUAGUAAAAUGUUUUCUACUCUAGUACAUUUGAAAUUGGUAAGUUAUGAUGUUUUGGAUAAAACAAAGAUCAACUAAGAUCGAUUGUCAGAAGUGCUUAUCUUGAUAAGAAACCGCACUAACUCUUGAGUAUUUGAUUGGAAAUUAAUGUUUCUUUACAAAUAGAAUCUUAUAUAUCAAAAGGCCAGUGGGAGUCUUAAAUAUCUUGAAAAGUUUCAAGAACUAAUCAAGAGUAAACCCAUUGUUAAUCACUAGCGCAUGACUUAAGGUUUGUAACCUAUCGUGUUGACAUGUUUUUGUUUCUGUGCCCAUUCCAGUUAAGUUGAAUGCACAUGUGAGUUCUGUGAGUUCUCAAUUGUUUGCAAAACAACUUGGAAGCAAAGGUAGGCCCUUGAGUUGCCAGGUGGCAAGAAAUUAAGAUUAAACAACUUCAGUCCAUAUGAGUUUGGUUUUUGUCACUAAUCUUGUCUUGUGAUUAUGGUUAUGACAAAUUCACAUGGAUAGGAACACAUACACCAUAAAAUCUAAGUGUCAUAAGGUUCUCUCUGAUUCAUGAAAAUGGUUAUGAGGAAACACUUUCACUAAGUAGAUUUUAAGCAAAUAGCAUUUGUGAUAUUUGCAUUCUCAAAUUUGAUUAUGAUUACGACAUCCCUCUUCAUAGUUCGAAUUGUGAGAAAUGGAAAAUAGUUUGAACAUUCAGAACUUAUUGUUGUAAGUUCUAAAUAGUUUAGACACACAUAUGAGCUUUCUAAUAAGCGGUGUAUGAGCUUAGAUAAAGGCUUAUCAAAGCAUCUCAUGUCAGAAAUCUGAACUUUGGUAAGAAAGUCAAUAAGUAUUGAUUUCUAGAAGUCCAACUGAUUUCUGGAUACAUGUCAAAGCUAAUGGGAGCAUAAGUAUUAUGCUAGUAAGAUAAUAAUUAUUAUGCUAGUGGGAGCAUAAUUAUUAUGGUAAGUGUUGCGAGUUAGCAAUGUUAAUUUUUAAUUUUAGAAAACAAAGGUUUCAAUUCGCAAAGUUGCAGGGUUUGAAAAGUAUGUUUUGCUAUAAUUAAGGGAGAGGAACUUAUAAUUCAUUUCAAUUCCAAAAUUUUAGAUUGAUAUUUUAAUCACAUUUUGUUAAGGACAUAUAUGAAUGUUAUGUUGAAAAGAUUCGACAUAAGGAAAUUCUAUAUAUGGAAAUGUUAUAGCAAGAGACUGGUAAAGUAUCAGGUAUAUAUGUAAGAUAUUAUGAACCGUAUCCCAUAUGCUUUGGGUAUAGGAUCGAUUGCAUAUGAUAUAGUAUUUAUGUGUUAUGAAUUUUCCAAAUGCCUAGGGAAUUAAGAAGGAAAAAGGACCAGAACCGGAUAUGACUAAAGUUGCUAAACAAUUGCUAAGAACAAUCCAAGGUUCGCCAAAGAUUGGUUGCUUAUGGACAAUUGGAAGUAUAGUAACGGAUGGACCAUAUUGACAUGAUCUUGAAUAGAUAGGACUCUAUUAAGAAUGGUUAGUCAUAUGGAAAUUAUGGAAAAGUUUCCAUAAUGGGAGUUGGAUAUCAAGAAUCUAAGAGUAAGUUAGAAACUUUUAUGCUAGAAGGAUGUUUAAAGGAAUGUGCUUUGAAUAUGAGACUUUGUAUCUAUAGAAUUGUCUUGUAACAAUCUCCAAUGGAAAGUUUUGUAAUUGACAUAGUCUCUGUGUGUAACAUCCAGGUUCUCAGUAAUAAUAUUUUUAUUAUUUAAUUUGAGAUUUGAGGAGUGAAUUGACGAGUUGGUGCCUAAACUCAUCGAGUGGAGUCAUGGCUGGUGACGUGGAUUAAUGAAUGGAGUCGACGAGUCUAUGAGGCGACUCACCGAGUUAGCGUUGUUGAAGGAAACCCUAAUUUCACGGGCAUAUGGCCUAUUUAAAGGCACUUAUAGCCUCCCUUCGUGGCCACUUUUUCCAGAGAGAAACCCUAAAUGAUCUUUGAGCUUAUAGAGAGAAAGAGAGAACUAACCUUGAGCAUUUUGGUGUAUCUUUGCAAAGAAAGGAGAAGGUUUCAAGCAAGGAGCAAAAGAAGGCUGUUAGAAUGUCAAUAUACAUCCAAGGGCUUCUGUUAGAGGUAUCAAGUUUGAACCUUUCUCUCUUGUUUGAGUAGAUCUCUCAUUUUUAAGAUUAGGGAUUCUUUUCUUUAUAUUUUGGGACUUUGAGGAUUUGGGGUUCAUGAUGAGGCUUGAACUACAGAUCUGGACCUUAGGAGGUCCCUAGAACCUAAAGGUUCUUGCUUUAUUCAGCCUUGGGGGAAACUUAUGAGUAAAAAACCCAUUUAGAUCGUGUUCUUGGUAUUCAUGUCCAAAAUGCCAUGCAUGGACGUAAAGUCUAUGACUUUACGUGAUAAAGGAGUCCUGAGAGUGGGGAUCUAGAGUUUGGGAAAGUAUCCUGCCUUAAAAGCAUCUGAAUGCAAGUUGAUUCUGAAUGGACUCGCCGAGUUGAUGAGUCAACUCGGCGAGUAGAUUAGGGUUUGUCUCGAUGAGCUUUAUCAUGCGAUGGCUCAGCGAGUUAAGGGUUAACUCGACGAGAUGGACCUUCAGGAGAUUACUGAGAACAAUGGGACUCGACGAGUCGCACGAGUGCACUCGACGAGUCUAGUUAAUUUGGGCUGUUGACUGGAACUGACUUCUGUUGACUUUAGGGUUGAUCAAAUGAGUAAUGGAGGUCAAGGAAGGGUAAAAUGGCCUUUUACCCAUUUCUAGGGCUAAGAGUGUAAGAGAGACCAAUGAAUGGUGUACUCGAGUAUGAGGAGAGUAUUAAUUAGAGAUAUUAUCCUUGUGAUAGGUAGAGGCUAGAUCGAAAAUUUCGAGCACACGAUUUUAUUUGCUAGCUUACGAGGUGAGUCUCCUGACUAUACUUUGCCUAGAGUGGUAUCUAUGUGUGAGCAAAGGGUCUUAUGUGUUUAUUUGAGUAAUGUGAUAUUACUGCAUUAUGUCUAUGUGAUUAUGCUAUACGUAUUUAGAGUUUACAGAGUUAGGACCGAAGGGUCCAUAGAGUUAGGACCGAGGGGUCCAUCAGAGUUGUGGGACUGGAGGGUCCCACUGAGACACAUUGACUGGAGGGUCUUAUAGAGUUAUAGCCUCGAGUGGCUAAUAUGUUGGAUGUGGUAUUUUGGGUAACUCUCUAAGAUUUAUGCUUUCCAUGUUAUGUGUUAUGUGUUUCAGGUACUUCCAAGGAUCGCGGGAGGCACCAGCGUGAUUGUACACAUAUGUCCGAGAUUAUGUUGAAGGUUCUGGGAUUUGACUUUUGAUUUAAGUUGAUAUUGAAACACUUAUGGUUUUUAUGAAGUAUGAUAUAUGAAUUUUAUGUGUUUUAACGAUGAAGAAUUUGGUUUGAAAUUUUACGUUGUUACAAGUUGGUAUCAGAGCCUUGGUUUGAGGGAUUCGAAUGCACCUUCAGGUAUGUCUGGACACAAACUGAGGCUUUGAGAAAAUUUUCAAGAAAAACGAUUUUUUUUUCUAAAAAGAAUAAGAGUUUCCAUGAGAAAAAUGAGGAAGAGCAGUGUGUACAAUCAACGAGCGCCCGAACAGUGAUUUUCCCAGAAUACCCUUACCUGUAGUGUUAUGAGAUAUUUAUGAGAUAUUAUGAGAUAUGUUAUCCAUGCUAGAGAGUAGGCUAGGUACUUCAUAUUUUAGGACUAGAGUGGCUUGAUUUGUGAUGCCUUAGCCUAGGAAUUACUGUUACCUGUGAUUUUCUUUGAGUGCGAGUAUGUAGCAGAAAUGAGCUUAUGAGAGUAGUCUGUGUUCGGCGAGAUACAAAGUACUUGCGAUCUGGAAUCCUAGGAGGAGGACUUGGGGUGAUUACAGAUGCAGUGUGGAAGGUAGUAUUGGGCCCGUACUACUGAAAGCACCGGGUCAGUGAGCAGUCUGAGUAAGAAUCCUUAGGAUGCUAAGGAACAAGUAGGGUCGAGCGAUCGAGUGUGAGCAUACUCAAGCGAGUCUUUGAUUAUUUUGUUUUGUAUUUCAGAGAUAUCAUGGUGGGUACGCACCACAACCCAGGGGGCAGUGGUACCAGUAACGAGGAGAUUCGCAGGAUGAUUCACGAGGAGGUGGCCAUAGCUAUCCGAGAGGCCAUCCCAGAGAUGUUUGGGUCUAUCAAGACCACCUUGAUCGAGACGUUUGACGAGCGAUAUGCUACUGUUACCGCGGCGGCUGCCACUGCUGCCAGGCCACAAGGGGGUGACACGUUGUUGUACCGGGAUUUCAUCAACACGAAGCCACCCGAGUUUGAUGGGACUCAAGAUUUGAUUGACGCGAUGAGAUGGAUUUCUGAUAACGAGGGGUGUUUUUACACUUAUUCCUGUCCGGAACAUUUGAGGGUACGGUUCGUGCUGAACCAGCUUCGCUCGGGAGCGAAGGAAUGGUGGAAGUUUGUGACAACCAUUUUCACUUAUGCAAGGCUCACUGCAAUGUCAUGGGAGAGUUUUAAUACUAUGUUUCGAGAUGAGUAUGUUCCCCAGGUGGAGAGGGAACAGUUGGCCUAGGAGUAUCUGACCCACAAGCAGAGGACAGAGUCAGUGAUAGUGAUUACGAGGAUGUUCCAUAAGAGGGUAAUGUUCUGCCCUAAGCACGUGUCUACCAAACAGGGACGUAUGAUCCGGUAUUUGAGCAUUCCGAGGAGGGAUAUUCGAGAGUUCGUGGCGAACUCGACUUAUUGAUCAUUUGCUGAGCUUCAAGCAAAUGCCCGAAAGAGGGAGAUUGAGCUGGAGACUCAGGACAGAGAGGAGGCGGAGUCUCAGGGGAGGGAUCGACGGCCGUCAUAGUCUCAGCCAACAGCUAAGCGGGCUAAGCCGGCAGAUUCGAGAUCAGGAGCACAGAAGGGCUGCACUUAUGGGAAGUGUGGAAAGGGUCACGACGGGAUAUAUCGAGCACGGUCUUGUUACAAGUGUGGCAAGGAGGGGCACAUGGCGAAGGAUUGCCCCAAUGGGUCUGCACCUGUUACUACACGAGCUACCGAGAGUCGGCCCGUGAAGGCUGAUGCGCCAAAGCUUCAUGGGAGGGCCUUCCAGCUGACAGCGGAGGAGGUCCGCACAGCACCUGAUGUCGUGGCCGGUAUGUAUUCCUUUGUUUAUUCUAUUCUGAGUUAUUUGUGCUUAUAGUGUGAUUUACGUAGGUACUUUUCUUGUGAGUUUUGUACUUGCCUUAGUGUUAUUUGACUCGGGUGCGAGUCGAUCGUUCGUAUCAUUAGUGUUUAGUCACCACAUUAGUAUCUGACGUGAGUCGUUGAGUCGGCCUCUGAGAGUUUCUAUAGCCGAUAAGCACGCAGUGUUUUCCACUGAUGUGAUCCGAGGAUGUGUGCUCGAUAUUUUUGGUGUUGAGUUUCCGAUAGAUUUGGUACCAAUCGCCAUGGGUGAUGUAUGUGUCAUUGUGGGCAUGGACUGGUUGAGCCUAUUCAGAGCUGUAAUCGACUGCGAGCGUCAGUUGGUGGCCAUACAAAACCCUAGUGGGGGAGUGCUUAUAGUUAUGGCGAGGGUACCCGAUCAGGAUCAGCUUUCUACUCUAUUGCCAGAGCGAGACAGAGUUUAAAGCAGGGUUGCAUGGGUUUUCUGGCGUACGUGAUGGAUUUGCAGGUUGCUACUGGGAGACCGAGUUCUAUCUCUGAGGUUCCGAUAGUAUGUGAGUUUGCAGAUGUUUUCCUCGAGGAGUUGCCGCGAGUGCCUCCCAAGAGGCAGGUAGAGUUUCGGAUUGAUUUGAUUCAGGGUGCGGCACCUAUUUCCAAGGCACCCUAUCGCCUUGCGCCAUCAAAGAUGCAUGAUUUAUUCUCCCAGCUCCAGGAGCUGCUAGGGAAGGGGUUCAUUAGACCGACCAGUUGAUCGUGGCGAGCUCGGAUCCUUUUUGUCAAGAAAAAUGAUGGUUCGCACCGUAUGUGCAUCGAUUAUAGGGAGUUGAACAAGAAGACGGUCAAGAACCGAUAUCCACUUCCGAGGAUCGACGAUCUGUUCGAUCAGUUGCAGGGUGCGUCUUGGUUUUUCAAGAUUGAUUUGAGGUCUGGAUAUCAUCAGAUGAGAGUUCAUGAAUAGGAUAUCUAGAAGACGUCCUUUAGAACUCAUUAUGGGCAUUACGAGUUCGUGGUGAUGCCUUUUGGACUCACCAACACACCGGCAGCGUUCAAGGAUCUCAUGAACCGGGUGUGCAGGCCUAUGCUAGACCGAUCAGUGAUCAUUUUCAUCGACAAUAUUUUGGUGUACUCGAGAUCUUGAGAGCAGCAUGAGGAGCAUUUGAGAGAGAUUCUUGGAGUAUUGAGAUCGGAGAGGCUUUAUGCAAAAUUCUCCUAGUGUGAUUUCUGGUUACGAGAGGUCCAGUUCUUGGGACACCUCAUUAAUCAGAAUGGUAUUUUGGUGGAUCCGGACAAGAUUGAGGUAGUCAUGCGUUGGGAGGUGCCGAGAUCCCCAUCCGAGAUCAGGAGUUUUCUGAGAUUAGCCGGCUACUAUCGGAUAUUCAUCAGAGAUUUCUCCAAGAUCGUCGUCCCCCUCACCAGGUUGACCCGGAAGGGUGUUACUUUUAUUUGGGGUCACGAGCGGCAUACCUCAUUUGUGAACCUUCGCCAGAGAUUGUGUAAAGCCCCAGUGUUAGCCCUUCCCGGGGGAGUGGAGAACUUCGUGGUUUUCUGUGAUGCAUCCAUAUCCAGGUUGGGUGCGGUGUUGAUGCAGAGAGAGCAUGUGAUAACAUACGCAUCGAGGCAGUUGAAGCCUCAUGAGACAAGGUAUCCCACCCAUGAUCUGGAGUUAGGGGCGGUGGUGUUCGCCCUCAAGAUCUGGCGCCACUAUUUGUACGGGGUUCGAUGUAUCAUAUACACGGACCACAAGAGCCUGAAGUAUCUCAUGGAUCAAACCAAUCUAAAUAUGAUGCAAAGGAGAUGGUUGGAUGUGGUGAAAGACUAUGACUGCGAGAUCCUGUAUCAUCCGGGCAAGGCUAAUGUGGUAGCCGACGCCCUAAGCCACGAGGUAGAGAGUUCUCCGAUCUAAGAUGUGUGUAUGAGGAUGACGGUGAUGACUCCAGUCUUAGAUACCAUCCGAGAGGCCCAAGCGGAGGCCAUGAAACCGGAGAACCGCAAGAGGGAACGAGUGAUUGGGCAGGUGUCCGAGUUUGUGAUGGAUAGCCGAGGACUCAUGACUUUCCGAGGGCGGAUUUGGGUGCCCUGUACGGUCAGAGCUCGACAUAUACUAAUGGAGUAGGCUCAUAGAUCGAGGUUCUCAAUCCAUCCUGGGGCUACUAAGAUGCAUUUAGAUCUGAAGAGAGACUAUUGGUGGCCCUGUAUGAAGAAGGAUGUUGCUUGGGUAGUUGAGAGGUGCUUGACCUGCUGUCGGUUCAAGGCAGAGCAUCGGCGUCCACAUGGUCCAUUGUUGCCUCUUGAGAUUCCCCAGUGGAAGUGGGAACAGAUCUCGAUGGACUUUAUAACCAUGUUGCCGAGGACUGCACAAGGAGUUGACGCAAUUUGGGUGAUCGUGGACCGGAUGACGAAGAGUGCUUACUUCCUUACUAUUAGUGAGAGAUCUUCCGUGGAAAAAUUGGUUGGGAUCUAUGUGAGAGAAGUGGUAGCACGUCAUGGUGUGCCGGUCUGGAUAGUAUCGGAUCGAGACAUACGUUUCACUUCCAGGUUUUGGAAGAAGUUUCAUGAGGAGUUGGGCACACGCUUGCAUUUCAGUACGGCGUAUCACCCACAAACGGACAGGCAGAGCGAGCGGACGAUUCAUACGCUUGAGGACACGUUGCGGGCAUGUGUCAUGGACUUCGUAGGAAGUUGGGACACCUACAUACCACUGGCUGAGUUUUCAUACAACAACAGUUAUCAUUCGAGUAUUGAUAUGCCUCCCUUUGAGCUUCUGUAUGGGAGAAGGUGUCAGACUCCCAUUUUCUGGGGAGACGUUGGACAGAGAGUGAUUGGUGGCACGGAGAUAGUGCUGAAAACAACCGAACGGAUUCAGUAGGUCAGACAGAGGCUUCUGACGGCACAGAGUCGCCAAAAGAGUUAUGCGGACAGGCGACGGUCCAUGCUAGAAUUUCAGGUCAGGGAUUUUGUUCUUCUGAAGGUAUCCCCACGGAAAGGAGUGAUCCAAUUCUGGAAGCGGGGUAAGCUGGGACCCUGAUACAUCGGUCCUUUCAGGGUGACCGCCAGAGUGGGCAGGGUAGCUUACCAGUUGGAGCUACCUGCGGAGUUGAGCCAAAUCCAUAACACCUUCCACGUGUCCUAGUUGAGGAAGUGUGUGGUCGAUGAGACGACAACAGUACCACUGGAGGACAUUCAGGUAGAUGCGAGCCUGAACUACAUUGACAGGCCAAUCGCGAUUCUAGAUAGAAAGGUGACGGUUCUGAGGAACAAGGAAGUGCCCCUGGUUCAGGUCCAGUAGCAACAUCGGAGGGGAUCCGAGUUGACUUAGGAGUCGGAGUCAGAGAUGCGGGAGCAGCAUCCAGAGUUAUUUGUUGAGCAUCCCUUCGAGGGUGAAGUUUGAUUCUAGUGGGGGAGAAUUGUAACAUCCGUGUUCUUAGGUAUAAUAUUUUUAUUAUUUAAUUUUAGAUUUGAGGAAUGACUCGACGAGUUGGUGCCUAAACUCGUCGAGUGGAGUCAUGGCUGGUGACGUGGAUUAAUGAAUGGAGUCGACGAGUCUAUGAGGCGACUCACCGAGUUAGCGUUGUUGAAGGAAACCCUAAUUUCACGGGCAUAUGGCCUAUUUAAAGGCACUUAUAGCCUCCCUUCGUGGCCACUUUUUCCAGAGAGAAACCCUAAAUGAUCUUUGAGCUUAUAGAGAGAAAGAGAGAACUAACCUUGAGCAUUUUGGUGUAUCUUUGCAAAGAAAGGAGAAGGUUUCAAGCAAGGAGCAAAAGAAGGCUGUUAGAAUGUCAAUAUACAUCCAAGGGCUUCUGUUAGAGGUAUCAAGUUUGAACCUUUCUCUCUUGUUUGAGUAGAUCUCUCAUUUUUAAGAUUAGGGAUUCUUUUCUUUAUAUUUUGGGACUUUGAGGAUUUGGGGCUCAUGAUGAGGUUUGAACUACAGAUCUGGACCUUAGGAGGUCCCUAGUACCUAAAGGUUCUUGCUUUAUUCAGCCUCGGGGGAAACUUAUGAGUGAAAAACCCAUUUAGAUCAUGUUCUUGGCAUUUCAUGCCCAAAAUGCCAUGCAUGGACGUAAAGUCUAUGACUUUACGUGAUAAAGGAGUCCUGAGAGUGUGGAUCUGGAGUUUGGGAAAGUAUCCUGCCUUAAAACCAUAUGAAUGCUAGUUGAGUCUGAAUGGACUCGCCGAGUUGAUGAGCCAACUCGGCGAGUAGAUUAGGGUUUGUCCCGAUGAGCUUUAUCAUGCGAUGGCUCGGCAAGUUAGGGGUUAACUCGAUGAGCUGAACCUUCAGGAGAUUACUGAGAACGAUGGGACUCGACGAGUCGCACGAGUGCACUCGAUGAGUCUGGUCAAUUUGCGCUGUUGACUGGAAUUAACUUCUGUUGACUUUAGGGUUGAUCAAAUGAGUAAUGGAGGUCAAUGAAGGGUAAAAUGGUCUUUUACCCAUUUCUAGGGCUAAGAGUGUAAGAGAGACCAAUGAAUGGUGUAGUCGAGUAUGAGGAGAGUAUUAAUUAGAGAUAUUAUCCUUGUGAUAGGCGGAGGCUACACCGAAAAUUCCGAGCAUGCGAUUUUAUUAACUAGCUUACAAGGUGAGUCUUCUCACUAUACUUUGCCUAGAGUGGUAUCUAUGUGUGACCAAAGGGUCUUAUGUUUUUAUUUGAGCAAUGUGAUAUUACUGCAUUAUGUAUGUGUGAUUAUGCUAUGUGUAUUUAGAGUUUACAAAGUUAGGACCAGAGGGUCCCACUGAGACACAUUGACCGGAGGGUCUUACAGAGUUAUAGCCACAAGUGGCUAAUAUGUUGUAUGUGCUAUUUUUGGGAACUCACUAAGCUUUAUGCUUAUCGUGUUAUGUGUUAUGUGUUAUGUGUUUCAGGUACUUCCGAGGAUCGCGGGAAGACACCGACGUGAUUGUACACAUCUACUCGAGAUUAUGUUGAGGGUUUUGGGAUUUGACCUUUGAUUUAUGUUGAUAUUGUAACACUUAUGGUUUUUAUGAAGUAUGAUAUAUGAAUUUUAUGUGUUUUAACAAUGAAAAAUUUGGUUUGAAAAUUUACGUUGUUACAUGUGACUUGUGUACAUACUCAUUACAAAAGGAUCACUGCAUAUAAGCUUAGAUUCUUACAGAUUACAAUAAGUGGAAAGGACUUGGUAUUCUUACACUUAUGGUAAGGAUCUACAUGCUUGGAGCAUGUGAUAACUAUUGUUUUAAUUCAAGUGUGAAGUUGAUAAAUCGAAGCAUUAUACAAUGAAUAAUGUGUAAUAAAUAUGGUGAUUAAAUAAAAAGUGUUUUAUUUAUAUUCAAAAGUUUUGAGACCAUAUUGGAUUUGAUUACUCUUUUGUUUCACUUUGCAUAUUUUGACUUCCUGAAUAACUAGGUUAUUCAAACCAUCCACAGUCGAUCAUACUUUGGAAGUAGGUAUUGAAGCUAGACUGUCAUGAAUGGGUUUGUAGAUUGUCUAAAGGCGUUUAGACAUAGCACAAGUUUGCUGUAGUGUUCAUGAGUUCUCCUGUAAUAAGAUUUGAGUAUUGGAUUAAACCCACGCUCAUCUGAAUCACUUCAUGGAUUUUAUACCGAGUGAUUGUGAGACGAUAAUAUCCUAUAUUCUUGAAACCAUGUGAGUUGUAGUUUACAAGUCGGUUGCACAUUGACAUAUGUAAACACACCCGUAACUUGGUGUUAUAAAACAUAUUGUUGUGUGUGAUUUGAUGAGUAAGUACAAGCAAGAAUUUGAGUCGAAGUUUAUCCGUUCCUUUUACCCAAUGUGGAUAAAAGCGAUAUCUGUGGGCCUGUCGAUGAUUUAGUGAUGACAACCCUAAGUGCUUGGCCAAGCCUGGACUGAUUUGAUUUGUUCAGUUAGUCGGUCGUCAUAAAUCAGAAAUCGAGAAACAACACAUGAACAAAGCGAAUGAUUAUAAUCCAUGUAUCAGUUCAUACGAUAUCUAGAAUGGAGGAAUAUAUGAUCCCUUAUCUAAUAGACACGUCAUUGACUAGGUCAGAGUUCGACAUCGGCUUUUAAGAGCUAUGAUUGGUAGUCGAGAUUUUGGAGUCGUACAUGCAAUAAUAGUUAUUAACUGUAUCCAAGUGGGAGACUAUUGGAUUAGGUGUCUAAGCCCAUAACUAUAAUUGGUAUGUACUUGACCCGAGAGUAGCAUGGUCUGCUUGGGUUGCCUUCACAAGAACAAUCUGAUAGGAUGGAUAUUUGAGAAAGAGGUUAUUUAUGAUUUAUUAAUAUAUUACAUGUAUAAUAUAUUAAUUGUGAAAUCAUAUUAUUUAAUUAGUAUUGAUCAAGAAUUAAUUUAGUGAUCAAAAGAGAAUAAUUAAAUUAGCGGGGACUGAUUAUGUAAAUCAGUGAUAUAUACAGUGUUUGGGCUAUUGAUUCAUGGUGGGCUAAGUUUUAUGUAAGUAUCCAUGAAGAGUUAGCCCACAUGAGAAAUGGAUCGUAACCUAAGUGUAUGGAUUAGGGUUUACCCAUGACUCUUGGAAUCCUACACUAUAUAUAUAUAUAUAUAUCCCUAAGGCUAAAAAUCGGNAAUUGGUGACCCUAAGCAUUCUAAGAGUUCUAAGAGAACCCUAGCCGAUUUUGGUGGUGCUUAACCUCUCUCUCAAAGUCCUCAUUUUUUCAUGGUGUUUGUGAACCAUUUAAGGUAUCACACUUGAGGUGCUAAGCUCUUGAAAGGCCAAGAACUACAAACUACAUCAAGAGGUAUUCAUCUAACUUGAUUUUAUAUGGUAUAUGCUCUAUGGUAUGCUAGUUAGGAUGUAUGAUUUGGAAAAAUUCAAAUUGCAUGUAUAAUUAGAGAAAACAUAGAUCCAAAGCAUCUAGGGUUGCAUGUGCACCAUAGGAGUGUUAUAGUGCUUAAAACCCAACACUUCAUUGGGGUGGUCAUGAGUAUAAAGAGGGAUUAACUCAUGCCUUGAGCAAGGCGGAUAGUGAGGUCGGAGAGCAUAUCUCUGUUAUGGGAGGAGGAACAUUAGGGUCUGAGGCAAGGUUGGGCCUGUUUAGCUCUUGAUGGGGUGAGACCCGUAUGCAUGGCCCAUUCAUUGGUAUAGACUGGGUGAGACCCAUGGGAUAGGCUUGUGUGUCUAUAACAAUGCAUGUGAGACCUGAUAGUGACUGGUUGGGUCAGGGAAUUAGAUCAAGGUUUUAGUAGGAUGAUUAUUUGGCCAGGGAGUGGCAUGGUGUAGUGCAUAGGCAAGGAUAGCCUUAUCGGUUGGAUUCUCAGGAAUCUAGUUGCUAGACCAGGUGUGAGACUAGUAGUCUCUGCGGUGGUUUGGGGAUAUUUAUAUCCCAGUUUAGUGAAUGGAUGCAAUGAGUUAGAAGGUUUAGGGUGAAAUGUAAGUGUAAAGCCUUAUAUCCCAGGUUAUGACGUAUGUAUCGAGUUGCCUUUCGGUCAAGAAUCCUUUGAUUAUGUUUUAGAUUGGUUCCAACUGUGUGGAGGUUAGUCAAGUGAUGGGAUUCCGAAAUUUUCGUAGUAUCAUGUUGGAUCGAUAGUUAUAGGAUCAAUGUUUUGUUCAGCACCGGUAGGUUUUGUUCGGAGCGUUGCUUUCCAGGAGGGUGGUAAGGAAUGACUUCGAGGAAGAAAUCUAAUUUAAGUAGGGGAGAGUUGUAAUGCCCUGUUCCGAAUCAUUUCCUAAUGCGAGGCGGUAACCCAAAGAACGGGUAUCAUCAGCCUCGGGGUCUUUGAGGGAAUGAGAUGUAGACCCAUUUGGGUGUGGGUUAUGUAACUUGGAUGAUUCCGUAGUUCGGUUUGUGUUUUGGAGCCAAUGGGUAUUUCGAUAAAGUGUCAGUUCGGGCUUUUAUGGAAAUUGGAUUUUUGUUUGGGAAGUUUUAAGGCAAGUAUAAGUUGAUAUAAGUGUAGAGCUUCUCGUUACAUCUUUGUGGAUAUAAGGGUCGUCAAAAACAGACUUAUAACAAAAAAGUUAUGGCAUUCAGAAGAUUGUAGGGUUCAAGGCUAAGGUCAGUACGUGGGGUGUACAUUGGUGUACGAUUGGCUUACUAAGCAGUUGGAUAGCGAAACUUAAGGGGAGUACGCUGGAUGUACUCCAGAUUCAUGCAAACCCUAAAUGAGGGUGUUGGACCUUAUUUAAGCUCAUUAUCUCUUCACUAAACCCUAAUACCUUUAGCAUCCAUCCCUUUUUAACCCAAGAUUCGAACCCCAAGUGCAUUGUGGUGAUUUUGAGCUUGGAACUGUUUUGUGGGUGUUUUGUGAAGAAGAAGAAGAAGAAGAAGAGAAACACUUGGAGGAGUGGCUUGAGCUUGUAGAUGUAGGAGUAUUUUUCCAUUUGCAAUCUCUCUAAGGUAAAAAGCUUAUAUCUUGAUAAUUAAUUUGUUUGGAUCUACUUUGUGGUGUUUCUUUUGUAUUUUUGAGUCCCUUGAAGUAAAGGUGGGUUUUUGAUCUACUCUAGAAGUAGUUGAUGUUUGAUCUAAGCUCAAAUAAGGUCCCUUGUUCAUAAAAAUGGAAACUUUAUCUGAGUUGUUGGUCCAUGCAAGUAUUAAGAACCUUAUUAAGUUCCUUUCUAAGUGUUGAGUCCCAUUAAGGCAUGUAUAUGAGUAAAGUUGGCAACUUUAUUGGUUAAGACCUUGUCUAGGGACCAGAUCUAUGUUUUGGACAUCUUGGAUUAACCCAUUAAGAGCUAAAUGUGGGUUUUGGAUUUCUGACGAGUACAUUGGGCGUAUGAGGAGGUACAGUCAGCUUAAUGUUGGGUUGCACAUUAGACGUUUGUACUUUGUGCAUCAUGGUCAAGUACGCGGGGCGCACAUCUCGAGUUUGCAGGGUGUACUCCCCAAUUCAGCAAAAUUGGGCCUUUUGAAUUUGGGCCUUAUUGGGCCAUUAGGCUUCUAUUUUGGGCCAUGGUUAGGUUGAGGACUUUCUUGGUAAUGGUCCCAUGAGAGUUUUAGGCCCAAUUUGGAAGUUGGGCCAUAUUGGGCCUGAGUUGCCAUCUUGGGCCUUUGGUGUAUUUGGGUUGGGCCUUGGUUUUGGGCCACAUGAGAAAAGGGUAAAAUGGUCUUUUACCCUUUAGGAAGUUGGUUUAUGGAGUGGGCCUCGAAAUUUGGAUUUUGGGUUGAUCAUUGAUUGUGUUUUGUAGUUAUUGUUAGUUGACGUGAAGUCAUCUGGUUCAGUUACCCAAGCAGUCAUUGUUUAUCAGCGGAUUAAGGUGAGUUUCUUCACUGUGUUUAGCGAGUCGAAGACACCAAUGCUGACCAAAUUCUUAUAUUUUAGGAUGCUAGAAGUAUGUGUGACUCUUUCAUGUGUUAUGGUAUGCUUACCGGGCACAACCCGAUGCCAAGCGGGGCCUGAUGAGUAUAUUGUAUGCUAGUUAUUAGUAUGUGUUUUCUGCUUUCCUAGCGAUACCCGAUGCCGGGAGGGGCACGAUGACUGUAUGGUAUGCUAUUGUCUUCAUGAAUAUCACAUGUGUUUGUAUGGUUAUAUGUUUAUAUGCUUAGAUGUGUAUUGGGCAGAGCCUGAUGACUGAUAGAUCUGUAUAUCGAGCGGGGGUCGAAGAAGGGCGGGGGACCCAAUAGGUGGUUAUUAUGUAUAGUAUGUGGUAUUUUGGGGAACUCACUAAGUUUUGUGCUUAAGGUUUUAUGGUUAUGGUUUCAGGAACUAUCGGUUCGAAAGGGAAGAGCCCGACUUGAUCGCAACGCAUCCACCCAUGUUUCUGCAUUAUGUUUUUUCUGGGAUUGUACUCUGAUAACCGUUUUCUUAUAAAAUUACUUUUGAAUAAUUGGCUAGGAAGAUAUUGAAUGUUGACUUAAAGAUAAUUAAUGUUUUGGUUGAAUUAAAAAUGAAAUUUUUACUUCAUAAUUUUGGGUUGUUACACUUUUCUUCUAAAAUCCAACCUUUUGACUCCUUGAAGCCCUAAAUCGAUUCAUCCAGGAAAACGGGCGUUAUAGGUACACUUUGCAAAAUGCUAAAGGUGGGAGACUAGUCUAAAGCAAGUGUGAAACUUAUGAGGACUUAAGACAUAUGUUAGUUGUUUUAAUUUAUGUAGAGGAUCUAGAGAUGGGAAAGGGAAGGAGACUAGUAGGUAUGCUUUGUCUAGGGAAAAUGAAUUGUAAGGGUAAUGAACUAUACAAAAAUACCAUUGAACUUUUUUUCGUACACAUAUCGCCAACCAACUAUAACGUUUGUACACGUAUAACAAUUAAACUUCACAUUUGUUCAAAAAAUACAAUUACGUUACCAGUAAUAGUAGGUCGCCAGCCACGUGGCAUGUCACGUUGUUGCUAACGUGGAUUUUACUGUUUAUUACGUAUUAUUAUGUACACAUUAUACCAUUAAACUUUUUUUGAGCACAUUAUUAAACUUUUUAUUUGUACAUAUUUUACUAUUAAACUUUUUUUGUAUACAUUUGACCAUUAUUCUUAUAUAUUUUAUUCAAAAAAAAAUAUAUCAUUUCAAAAAAUACAUAUUAUUACAUAAAAAUGGGUUUUCUAUCACCUAUUGUUACUUCCUGAUUUUGUAAGGUUUGGGGGAGAGGGUUCGCUUUUGACAAUGAUACUAAGCACUCCCUUUUACAACUACAUUGUACAUUUAUGUUGGUCAUACAUCGAUUGAAACCCACAAGGUUUGAACUUGAGACUUCCCUUUGGAGUGUCCAAGAAAUACUCAAUUAUUCAUUAUUUUAGCUAAAGUUUAAUAAACUUACACUAUAAGUCAUACAUAAUUUCAGUGCACUUUUCUAAUCAUCAACCAUAAUCAAGAAGGGAGGGGGUGGGGGAGGAGGAGGAUUCGAAAUCUAAUAUAAUGGAUAAUAGAGUAUUCAUAUAUUUAUACAUUCAAAUGUAAGGAAAAUGACUUGUAAGGGUAACGAAGUAUCAAAAUUAUAUAAAAAAUUUCAUUGAAUUUUUUUUGUACACAUAUCGCCUACUAAUUAUAAUGUUUGUACAUGUAUGACCAUUAAACUUCACCUUUAUUCAAAAAAUACCAUUACGUUACCGGUAAUAGUAGGUCACCAGCCAUAUGGCAUGCCACGUGGCUGUUGACGUGAAUUUUACUAUUUAUUAUGUACACAUUAUACCAUUAAACUUUUUUUUGUACACAUUAUACCAUUAAACUUUUUUGUAUACGUUUUACCAUUAAACUUUUUUGUACACAUUUUACUAUUAAUCUUAUUUAAUUUAUUCAAAAAAAUAUCAUUUCAAAAAUACAUAUUAUUAUAUAAAAAUGAGUCUUCCAUCACCUAUUAUGACUCCCUGGUUUUGUAAGGUUUUGGGGGAGAGGGUUCGCUUUUGACAAUGAUAUUAAACACUUCUUUUUACAAUUGUUUCGUACAUUUAUGUUGGUCAUAUAUCGAUUGAAACCCACAAGUUUUGAACUUAGACUUUCCUCUAAAGUGCACAAGUCUUACUCGACAAACCAUCAAGAUAACAACUUAAUAUUAUUAUAUAAGUAUAAAGUAUUUUUGCAAGUAACCACAAAAUAUUUCAAUAUAUAAAUACAUAUCUUUACGUACAUAUAAAACAUAUUUACAAUAAAUAUGUGUUUUUUACAUAAAAAAACACAUAUUUAUUGUAAAUAUGCUUUAUAUGUAUGUAAAAAUACAUAUUUAUACAUUGAAAUACUUUAUGAAUACUUGUAAAAAUACUUUAUACUUAUAUAAUAAUAUUAAGUUGUCAUCGUGAUGGCUCGUCAGAUAAGGCUUGUGCACUUUAGAUGGAAGUCUCAAGUUCAAACAUUGACUUUCAAUCGAUGUAUGACCAAUAUAAAUGUACCAAACAUUUGUAAAAGGUAGUGUUUAACAUCUUUGUCAUAAGUGAACCUUUUCCCGCAAACCUUACAAAAUCAAGGAAUAACAAUAGUUGAUAGAAAACCCAUUUUUAUCUAAUAAUUAUAUGUAUUUUUUGAAAUGAUAUUUUUUUUUGAAUAAAAGAUAUAAGAAUAAUGGUCAAAUGUAUACAAAAAAAAUUUAGUGGUAAAAUAUGUACAAAAAAAAAAGUUUAAUAAUAUGUUCAAAAAAAGUUUAAUGGUAUAACGUAUAUAUAAUAAACAAUAAUAUCCACGUCACUAGUCACGUGGCAUGCCACAUGACUGGUGACCUAUUAUUACCGAUAACGUAAUGAUAUCUUUUGAACAAAUGUGAAGUUUAAUAGUUAUAUGUGUACAAACGUUAUAAAUGAUUACUGAUAUGUGUACAGAAAAAUUCAAUGAUAUUUUUUAUACAAUUUUGAUACUUCAUUAUCUUUACAAAUCAUUUUCCUGCUUUUAUACCAAACGAAACAAACAUCAACUUUUCUGUUCUAAAUCAACAGUUAACAAAAUGGCUUAUAUUAAAACAAAUUACAUAUCUUUGCAUGCGCAUGAGCACUCUAAUGACCAUUUACAGUUGACCGGUGUAAAACGAUUAACAGUUAAAUAAAAAGAAAUUUAAGUCAUAUAAAAAAAGAAAAUGACAAAAAUAGCCACGCUUAAAGUACAAUAUACACGAUGAUGUUUACUGAAUUGCGAAAAUGGAUCACUUCGAAAUGCCACAAUUCUUUGAGAAACAACACUAUUCACUACAUAUGCCACUAUUCACACGAAAAAUAUUAAAUUUAUUAGUACUGUGAAAUUGUUCUUUGUAACGCAACAUAUAUUUUUCAAAAAUCACGUUUUAUUUAUCAAGGAAACAUCUUUUGAAUUUUUUUUUAUGGUACGGAUCUUCAAAAACUAUUUGCAAAAUGAAUUUAUAUUACGAAAUGAAGUCUUAAAUUAAAAGACUUUUUUUUUUCAAAAUUGGAACCGGUUUUUAAAAUUUCGUAUCUCACUCAUAUGAAAUCAGAAUUACUUGUUUUUUUUUUUUUUUUUUUUUUUCAAAAUGUAAUUUAGUGUUUUAAAUUCAUUUUAGACUAUAAAAAAAAUUGGUUAAAUAUUGAAUCAUAUAAAAACCCCAAAAGACACCAUAUCAAUGGUGCGUUAUUUAUGUUUCAACAUGUUUUAUUUUAUUUUGUCUUACUUUUUAAAAUACCGUUAUUCAUUAAUACGAAGUUAGAAUUAUUUGAUUUUUUUCCAACAUUUAAUUUAAUGUUUGUAUUUCAUUUUAGACUAUAACAAAUCAUAUUUGGUUAAAUAUUAAAUCAUAUACAAGCCUCAAAAGACAACAUAUCAAUGUUAUGUGCUUUUUUAAUAUUCUAUCAUGGUUUUUAAAAUACCAUAACCCCCUCACAUAAAGUUAGAAUUACUUGAUUUUUUUUUCCAACAUGUAAUUAAGUGUUUGUACUUCAUUUUAGACCGUAAAAAAACAUAUUUUGGUUAAAUAUUGAAUCCGAUAUAAACUUGGAAAGACAGCAUAUCAAUGCAACAAUUUUUCAUUUUUUUUUUUCAUCCAUGACUCAAACUAUAGAAUGAAAAGGGAAGAAGGUGUUGUAAGGGAGAAAACUCGAAGUAGGCACCUCAAAGUAUAAGGGUUAUACAUUGAACCAUUUGCACUACAAGCUAUUUAUGAUGUUAUCUUACAAAAUACAUUGAUAUAUAUUAUUUACAAAAAAAUUAUAUUUUUUAUAAUUUUGACUCGGUUUGAUUUUAUCGGUUUUUAUGUUUUCUAAAAUCGAAACCGAACCCAAUAUUUUGGUUUGAAAAAAACUCGAACCCAAAUCAUCAACAUCUAUUUUGAUUUUGGUGUUGUCGGUUUCCGGGUUCUACUUUUUUCACCCAUAAGAAUUUUCAUUCGCCUAAGACUAAGGGGUUGUUUGAUAGUUGUUGACUGGGUUAGAUCUGACUGAGUCUGAAGCUCUGACUGUAUUUGUUUCUGACUGAAACUAUAUUGUUUGAUUAAACAUCUGAUUGGCUGUGUUAACUAUAAAAAAUGAUCAUUUUACCCUUUUAUUUUGUUUUAUGUCGGAUAAAAUGAGUAUGUUUAAUAAAAUAUUUAGAUAAAAUUGAUGAAUAAUCAUACAACAUCGAAUUAAGCAUAAAUAAUUUUAAAGUCCGUAAACACAAUGUUAUCAAAGUCUGUACACAACAAAUGUUACCAAAGUCUAUACAUGAUUGUAAACAAUCACACCAGAUCUAUACCUAACCAUUGCUUUAUGUUUGCCCUUUCCUACAUAACUCUUCAAACUUACAACCUUUAUCAUCAGUAGCAUGAAUUGGCCAAAAAUUAUAAACCAUAAUCUUAUUUUUCUUUCACAACCACACUUGUUUUUCUUGAAAACAUCAACAAAUGUCAUAUAAUUUGUAAAUAAACAAAGUAAACAGCAAGAUCCAUUGACAAGCUUGUCGAUGACUUUUGAAAUAAACAUUGUAAACAAAAAUCAUAUUUAUGAAUCAUGAUCAUUAAACUUAAAUUCACAACCAAAAAAUAAUCAUUUCACACCAAAAAUAAUGAUCCCAAAUCAUCCCUGAAGCCUUUACCCCACAAUCAUACAUCAUUCUAGUAAACGGAUUGCCCUAUUUCGAACCCAAUUAAGCUCAAAGUUUUUUCAAAUUAAAAAACCAGGGUAAGAAAAACUGAAUCAGACCUUUAGUAGCUUUGAGAAAAUGAGCCAUCGCAGAUGAUGAAUUCUCGGGCAAUCAAGAUGUUGGUUCAUGGAGAAGCAGCGAACCGUUGAACAAUAGAGGAACAGAGAAGUAAAAGAAGCAGGGUCCAUGUAAGAUGAUGCUGAUGGUCGACAACGAAGAAGCAAAAUCAAUGUUGAAGAGAGCUGAUGGUCGUGAAUGGUGAUGAUCAAUAGAGAAGAAGUAUAGAACGGCGAGGGGAGAACAAAGAAAAUAUGGUCAGUAACAAAGAGAUUGAGAGUGAUGAGAGAGACUCGAUGGAUAUCAGGUUAAGGCUCCUUUUGAUAUACUGUAUUUGUGGCGUUGGAGGAGGAAAUCGAUGAGGAGUGGCAGAGAAGUCUAGAGUGGUGAAGGAGAAGGAGAGCGAUGGAGGUGGUUCACAUAGAGUUAAUGAGAAGGAGAAGGACAAACGAGGGAAUAAGCAUGUAUACGAUUCGGUCAACAUCUCUUUUGAGAGGACUCGGUAAGAGCUAUGGGGACCGGGUAAGAGGGUAAAAAGGCCACUAUCAAACGUUCUUACUGGACGAGUAAGAAAUAAUCGCUUACUGGACCAGUAAGACGUAAAUCAAACAGACCCUAAGACCAUCAAAAUCUCUUAUGCGUGAUUAUCGGCUAAAGGCAUAAAAUCAAAGGUAUCCUCGUCUUCUAUGCAAUGUGCCAUCCUUAUUCGUGAGACAUGGAAUAGAUUUGGCCAUUUGGGCCAAAAUAAUAUUAUUGUAUUAUGUAUGUAUGCUAUAUGCUCCUCCGUAAAGUGUUGUCUAGGUCGCCCAUAGCUUACACCAUAACAUCUUAUUUCUGUAAGUACUUAAUUUUAUUUUAAAAAAGGUAGAUGUAGUUACGAAAAUGUUGGUGGUUGUCGAUAUUGUAUGAACAUUUUGAACAUGUGUACGUUCUAACCAACCAUUUAGUUAAUUUUAAUUUGAAACAAAAACUAUUAUAAUUGCAUAAAUACGAAAUGCAUAAUAACAAAAAGUGUAAGAGAUAAUAAUAAUAAUAUAAUAAGUCCCCCGAAAUACACAAAAAAAACAUCGUCCUCAAAAGAAUCCCAACUAAUUUCACUUCAAAAUACAAUGAAUCAAAAUAUAUGAAUAUCGGUCAUAGAUGAUGACUGUAGACGAUUUAGAAAAUAUACAUCUCUCUAGAUCAACGAGUAGACAAGAGCACAUCCGAAAACCAAGCUUCCAACCAUCGAUCCCAUCUUCUCAACUCCACUCUGCAAUUACACGAAUCAUCCCACAAAUUAAUACCACAGAGGUAAUAGCAACACAAUGCAUUUGGGGUACUAAAAUGUUAUAUAAUACAACUCAAAAGUAUAAUGUAAUGUACAAAAACUCAAUAUAUGUAAUAAUUCAUUUACAAAUAAUUAGGGAUGACAAAAACACCAUAACUCAACGCGAAAACCUGAAACUACAACUUUUGAUUUUUUCUAAAAAAAUUUCUCAGGUUUUGGAUGGUUACGAUAUUAAGGUUAUAAUUGAAAUUAUUAAAUAAUUCAAGUUGUUUUUAAAAAGUUUAUGAUUUAGAUUAGUUUAAAUCCCAAAUCCCAAUUUGUUUCACUAAAGCCAAACAAAAAUGAUCAUUAAUAUAUUGCUAUUAUUAAUAGAUAAUAAUAUUAAUAUUAAUACUUUUAUUACUUCAUGGAAGUAAUUAAAAUAUUUACCAGUUGAAUUACAAUCCUUAAUUAAUGGGAUUGAGGUUGAGUGUUGAUCUGAAUGGAUCACGUGACUCCCAUCAUUCACUUUACCUUAAGAAACCAAACCUGCUUCUACUUUUACCUAACUUUACAUACUCUACCCGACCCCAUUAGAUCUACCCUCAGCUUAAUGCUAAAUUAUUCUUGCAUCAGAUCUGUAACAAUAAAAAUGUAAAUGGAGUAAGGUGAGAAGUAAGUACCACGUCAGUAGCUGAUGGUGCCGGAGAUACACCAGUGGUGGUGACGGCCGGAGAAGGUGCUCCAGUAGGUGGUGCUGGUGGGCUCGAAGUUAAGGGAGAUGGUGCAGCCGAUGGAGUCACGACUGGGGAAGAGACUGGGACGGGAGCUGGUGGUGGUGAAGCUGCAGGAGGAGGAGUGGCUGCUGGUGGUGGUGACGCGACAGGAGGGGGAGUGGCUACAGGUGGUGGUGAGGCAACAGGAGGUGGAGUGGCUACAGGUGGUGGUGAGGAUACAGGAGGUGGAGUGGCUACAGGUGGUGGUGAGCUGACUGGCGGAGGAGUGGCAACGGGUGGAGGAGUUGAGACAGGUGGCGAUGCGACGGUUGGUGGUGGNNNNNNNNNNNNNNNNNNNNNNNNNNNUGGUGGAGUGGUGGUGGUUGGGGUGGCGGUGGGGGAGGAGGAAGGUGAUUGAGCGGCGACGGAAGAGAAGAUAAUGCAGAUGAGGGCAGUGAGGAGGGCAGCGUUGCGAUCCAUGAUUGAUUUAAUUUAAGCUUGGAAUUGGAUUUGGAUGAACGACAAGAAGAAUGUGUUAUGUGUGUGAGUGAUGGUGAGAGAGUAAGAGGUGUCUGGUUUAUUAUAUAGCGGACUUGUAUGAGGUAUAUCCGGUGCGGUGGGGUCGUUUGUAUCAUAUGCAUUGAGCCUUCCUAAUAAUCACCCUCCAAUAUCACAAACAUUUAACUCUCUUACUUUAGAAAUGAAGUAUAUUGUUUGUUAUAUCGAAAUGUGUUUUGAUGAAGUAUAAUUACUUAUAAUCGUAAUAUAGUAUAGGUUUUGUGUUAUUUUUAAUGUACAUAUAAUUGUUAAAUUUGUUUGGAUUGUUGGUUAUGUAUGUUUUAGCCGGUGAUAAGUAUAUAAUAUAAACAUUCCAAUAAUAUAUGAACAUAAAAGAGAUUAAAUAUGAACAAAACUUAAACUAUUUUACUGUUAUAAGUCAUUAAUUCUUUCUACAAUAGUUUCAUAUCAUUAGAGAAAUGGUUUGAUCUUUUGAGGAUCGAUCUUGAUGUUUGUUUGAUGAGCCUGGAUGGUAUUACAUAGUUGUUCAGAUAAAUGUUGACUAAGCAAAUGGUCUUUAGCUGGAACUAGGAUGAGCAAUCGUUCCAAACUGAACUGAACCGAAACCAGUUUAGAGUAAUAAUGAGAACCAAUAACUAGCUAGAUUGGUUGGGCUAUACCGGUUUUGAUGCAGGUGCCAAUUUUCGGUUAAAUACCUAGUUGGAAUCGACACAUGUUCUUAUACAGUUGGUAUAACUAGUUAAGGAUUUGAGCCAAAAUGAUUAAAAUAAUAUAAAAUCAACUAGCAAAAAUUAACCCAAUAUAUAAACAAAUAGGGUGUUUAUAUAAUCUAAAAUGAAAACCCAAUGUUGAAAUAACAUAAAUCAACGUGUAACCAAACAAGGUAUUUAUAUAGUCUAAAUUGAAAUACACACAUAAAACUAUGUGUUGAAAAAAUUCAUGACAUUCCCACAUAAAACGAAGAAUUUAUGACCGUUUAAAGAAGAUGAAAGAUUACGUAGGCUCUAGGUCAAAUUGAACCACCUUUCAUACAAUAUAGUCGAAAUACGGUUCAAUGGUAAUAUAGAAGAUGACCGGAGUUGUCACGUCAUAAGGUUGUAAUGUCAACAAUCCAAACAAGUUCAUAAGGAUGUAAUGUGAUCAAUCCAAACAAGUUCAAUGGUAAUAUGUGGAGAAAAAAACUUAAAUGACUAAAUGUGAACAAAACCUAAACUAUGUACCCUAUAUCAAUCGGUCAUAACGAUAUAAUGUGAACAGUUCAAACAGGUUCAAUGGUAAUAUGUGGACAAAAAGUAACUUAAAUGACUAAAUAUGAACACAACUUAAAUUAUGCAUGUUACCCUUAUAAGUUAUUAUCCAUUUCACGAAAGAAACUACACUGUGUCAUUGAAAGGAGAAUAUAUAUAUAUAUAUAUAUANNNNNNNNNNNNNNNNNNNNNNNNNNNNNNNNNNNNNNNNNNNNNNNNNNNNNNNNNNNNNNNNNNNNNNNNNNNNNNNNNNNNNNNNNNNNNNNNNNNNNNNNNNNNNNNNNNNNNNNNNNNNNNNNNNNNNNNNNNNNNNNNNNNNNNNNNNNNNNNNNNNNNNNNNNNNNNNNNNNNNNNNNNNNNNNNNNNNNNNNNNNNNNNNNNNNNNNNNNNNNNNNNNNNNNNNNNNNNNNNNNNNNNNNNNNNNNNNNNNNNNNNNNNNNNNGUUAUUGUCCAAGUUUUGAAAAAUUGAUGUAUCUUGUCAUUAUGUUUUUUUUUUUUUAAAAAACAUAAAGUUUUAUUCUCUUCAAGUACCAUCAACAUUGUUCCGUUAAAUAUAUAUAAAAACAUGUUUUUACCCUUAUAUUGAUCCAUUUUUUUGUUUUUAUUGUUACAAUAUUUAUUUAUUUUUUGUAAGCGUUUUUUAAUGUUUAUGUUAUUUGUAGAUUCAUUUGUUACUACCAUUAGCACCACCAACACGACCACAACCACCACCAAUAACCUCGUUCACCCCCUCCAAUCACCUCACUUUGAGAAUUUUUUGAUUAUCAUACUUUAUUUAUAAACAUGUCAUUUUCUUUGUAAUGUUCAUUUGAACUUACAUUGCGAAAUAAAAAUGGUAAUUCAAGUUGCACAAUAUUUCGACUUUGGCAACAUUUUACUAGAAAAGUAUUUAUUUUCAAUUUCAUUAACAACUUUGAAACGUCCAGAAAAUUACAAAUAGAUUUUGCGUUUUGAAAACAUAUUAACCGAUUAAGACCUUUAACUUAAAAACAAUAAGUGACAUUGAUUUGUUUGAAACCAUAGUGUUAUCAAUGUUGAAUUACAGGAAAGUGGAAAUCAGUAUCUUCGAUGCGUGUAUACAGUUCCGUCGAACUCUUCUCAUGAACAACUUGUAAAACAUAAAAUCCACAGUUGAAAGCAUAAGGUUUAAUGAGUUCCACAGUAUACCACAUAUUUCAUCAUAUAUACAAUGCAUCCACACAAAGUCAUCGGAUCUAAAGUUGACCUACAUGCUUUCCUUACCACAAGCAUACAUCACACAUAACGAGCCGAGCCCAAACAUACAUAACGGGCCCAACUCAAAGAGUAUAAAGGGCCUAGCCCAACGUACAAAAUGGGCCCCACCUACAUACAUAACGGGUCCUGCGCAUAUAACGGGCCCAAACCUAACUCAUAUAAUGAGCCCAACCCAAUGUACACAACAAGUCAAUUCCAGGGGCCAGAUCUCGGUCUUCCAUACAUAAAGGGCCUAGCCCAACUCAUAUAACGAGCCCAACCCAAUGUACACAACAAGUCAAUUCCAGCGUCCAGAUCUCGGUCUUCCAACUCAAAGAGUAUAAAGGGACUAGCCCAACAUACAAAAUGGGCCCCACCUACAUACAUAAUGGGUCCCGCCCAUAUAACGGGCCCAAACCUAACUCAUAUAACGAGCCCAACCCAAUGUACACAACAAGUCAAUUCCAGGGCCAGAUCCCGGUCUUCCAUACAAUACAUAAAAUCGUAUGUGGUCAGAGAUCAGAGAGACAAUAAAAUAGGUGGUCCACCCGAAAAUAAUAAAAUCAAACAAGAACCAUGCAAAUCAAGCUUUAGACAAAGAGUUCUCAGGCUAUCCAAUUUAACCGCCUACAACCAUUACAAGAAUUUCCCUAACCAACCAUGACACCUAAAAACAUCAUAUAGUCCACAAGCAAGACCCUACCAUUCAAGCAUACCAUGAGACUAAAUGUCCUACACUGCUCAAACCAACAUUAUCAUACAAUCAGUAUGCAAGGCCUUACCAGUCUAGCAUACCAUGACACCUAGUAUCCUAAACUAUGUAUGUAUAACAGAGAGUUAUCAUAGUCAACUAGCAUACUCGUACCCUAAUGGUACCUUUACCUAAUCAUGAAAAGGAUAUACAGUGUCUACAAUGUCAUACGUGGCAAGUGAGAAACUCACCUAAACCAAAGAAGCACAAUAACACUCUUACUCAUUGCACUGAUCAGAACUGCAAACCGACUAACACCAAAAACAGAACAAACCUCAGUUAACAACCCAAAUCCUUCAAAUUUGACCCAAGGUCAAACUGGUCAAAAGUCAAUGGUCAACGGUGAUGAGAUUAUGAUUCUCUUAGAUAGAUAGAUUCAAACAGAUAUUCAAGGAUAAUUACAAGAACAGAAAACGAUAAACACAAAUAUGAAUCAAACGUGUGUCGAAUGAUUAAUAUUCUCCACCUCAGAAGAAUUCAAUGUGAAUUGCUAUUGUAGAGGUGUGCUAGGGUUACAAUGCAAGAUCUGUGUAAAUAAUAAUCAAGAAGCAUCUUAAAUAUAAUGCAUGCAUGCACUAUAUAUACUUAAACCCUAAAACAAAACACGGCUGGACAGGCCCAGAUCGAGAGUACUAAUGGACCGAACAUAAAGCCCAAUGACGCAAUCUCUUGGACUCAACAAUCUCCCCUUUUGCGUCAAAUGGGGCGAGAGAUCACUUCGGUUAAGCAAUGGUAGUUUUCUUCAUAGUAUUGAACAGCUUCAGUAUGAGGGCAAGUAGAGUUUGACGAAAGUUGAUAUACCACCGAAGCAUAUCCGAAAACAGCUUCCUGUCUGUGUCACUGUUCUGAUCGCACCUGUAUAUGAUCUCAAGAAUAUGAUCCAAGCAUGAGGUGGAGAACAAAUGUUUGUCAGCAAGAGCGAACAAGAAUUUUUUUACCUUCACCCCUGGUGAACAUGACUGUGUGGAACCGAGGGUCGAUAUUUCCCUUCAACAUCACGUUGAUGUCGCUUGCCUUCCCAAUUUGUUUGAUAAUGGGCUUCUUUCUCAGGGUAGAGGCGAUCUCCUGACCCAUCUUCGCGACUUCAAGAAUAUAGCACACAAGCAUUCACUUGAUAUGAUCAAUGAUAGGCUCAUACUCUUGUUGAUUAGUCAGUAAAAUGUUGUUCAAGAGGAUCUAGUCAUGAGGAUUCAGAUUCGGUAGAUCAACAAAGGAGACCAUAUGGACCGAACUGUCUGAGCCGCGGGUCACUCUAAACUUGAUGUUGAUGAACUUCCCUGCCGAAGUGGGUUUCAACACCUUGACUAUUGUGAUCUUCUGAUUACUCAAAGUCAGGUAUUGCGGUUGAGAGAACGUAAAGUAAUAAUCGAUCAAAUCUCGAUCAACCUUCGGGUCAGGGGAAGGGAUGGCAACAAUUGACUCAAAACAAUGAAAGAUAAAUGCCUUUCGGGUGAUUGGCAUGUCAAACUGAGAAUCCUUAGAAUUUUCAAGAUUGAACGAAAGGACCAGCUCGAGCCAAUGUGUGCUUGGAGAUUCGAUUACCUCCUUCAGAAGUUUUUCCAUCGUCCAUAGAGGGAACAUGGGUUUCCUUCGUUCCAUGGCAUCGUUCACUUCUUUUAGUUUCUUCUCUCUUUAAAUUUCUUCAUUUGCCUUACGAAGCUUUUCCUCAAGCUCGCGUUCAUUUUGAUUGACUUUAAUAUUCAGUUUUAGAGGCUUUUCCUUCCAUUUCGAUCACAUCUUCGAUAUCAACCUCGUCAUCAUCACCAAAUUUCUUCUUUCAUUUUUACUUCAUACUGCCCGAAGCUUCAUUACCCUUCGGUUCAGCAGUGACUUUUGGUUAUGAGAUGGGUUUUCUUGUUGGAGGUUGUUGUGACUGACCCUGGCUAACAAUUUUCUUCUUUCGUUUUUCCUUCAUACUGCCCGAAGCUUCAUUACCCUUCGGUUCAGCAGUGACUUUUGGUUGUGAGAUGGGUUUGCUUGUUGGAGGUUGUUGUGACUGACCGUGAGUAACAUUUUCUCCCCCUUGUUUCGGAGGGACAACAGUCUUCGGAACACCCUGAAUCUUGCUAAGAAUGUCUAGAGCAGGUCUCAACUUCUCAGCCAAGUGACGUUGAAUCGAGAUAGUAAGAACUGAGUCAUGUGCUUCCAGAAGAUGCAGAGGAAUGGAAUGCACAUCACGAACACUGCUCUUGAUGACCGCUUGCUUUGACUUGAGUUCAUCAUUCUAUUUUAGGGCUUGGUUGAGCUUCAGAGCUUGAGUUUUGACUUUGGUGGUCUUGGGAUCCAGUUCAUCCAUGAGUUUGUUCUCCAUGGCUUAAUUGACAUGAAGUUUAUCAAGACACUGAUUGAUUGAAGAUUGAAACUCAGAGUAGUCGGAUUUGAUGGCGUGGCGUGCUUCCUCAAAAUUCUUCUUUUCAUCUUGAAGCGAGUUGGUAAGAGUAGCAACCAAAGCAUUCAACACCUAAGCAUUCUUUUAAGCUGCAGCCUAAAGAGAGUCAAGAAAAACAUGAGCAUCAAAAAUUAGUUUUUUGAUGUUUGCGGUCGUCUGCUUGCAAUCUUUUGUGGAUUCAUCAACUGCAAUAGAAGCUUUCUGGCAGGAAGAGGUAGAAUCGUAUAUAGCUUUAACAUCAUUAGAAAUAGUAGAGUCAUGCUCUUUGAAAAAGGUUGCCAAUAGAGCAUUGAUUGCAGCUUCUGAAUACGCCUAAGUUGGAGUGGAGGAGACAGAAGAGAGCAUAUGAUCAAGCUUGUCAUUCAGAUCUUUUAGAUGCCUCUUCAUGACUGGAUCAUCAUCAUCAUCAUCAUCAUCGCUUUGAACACGAUAUGGGCUAAAAUAAACAAAAUCAAACUCCAUUUCUGCUCUUUCAAGAACAGUGUCAUAUUCGUGUGAGGGAGGUGGGGAUAAAGGUUUUGAAGUAAUUGGUGGUUCAGAUUCUGAAGUAGGUACCCCCGUAUCCGAUACGCUAACACGAACUUGUGGUUGAGUGGUGGUGGUAGUGGUUGUUGUAACUGUUGGAUUAAUGUCUAAGUCCAUAACUAUAUUUGGUAUGUACUUGACCCGACCCGGCAUGGUCCAUUUGGGUUGCACUUCACCGACACAAUUUAUAUGGAUAAUCUUUUGAGAAUAGUAUGUUUAUGAUUAAUAUUAAUAUAUUAUAAGUUCUAAUAUAUUAAUAUGGAAUCAUAUUAUUUAAUUAGUAUUGAUCAAGAAUUAAUUUAGAAUUAAUUAAGUGAUCAAAAUGAACUAAUUAAAUAUGGACUCUUGUAUAUAUGGAAUGGGCCAAGUUCAUUUAGGUUGAGCUAAGCUUUCAUGGAUAGUCCAUGGAGUGUUUAACCCAUGGAUCAUAUGAAAUGAAAGGUCAUGGGUUUAACCCUAUUCUCCAUACUAUAUAAAGAUGUCCUUGGUUGGUGAAAUUGGCACUAGUGUGGAUACACUAAAAAAGGGCUAGCCAAUUUCACUAGAGAGAACCAAGUAAUCAUAUUCUCUAAAGUAUUCCAAGGUGUCUUGGUGAUUUGUGAUUCCACUUGAGGCUUCCACACUAUUGGGGCUAAGCUCUUAAAGCUUGAAGACAUCAAGCUACAUCAAGAGGUAUGUAUUCUAUCUUGUUACAUUCAUAGUUUUUGUAUGCUAGAUUAGGAUAAUACCUUGGAUGUUCUUAUUUGCAUGUAUAAUAGAGAAAACAUAGAUCCAAGGUAUUUAGGGUUGCAUGUACACUUAGGAAGUGUUAGAAUGCUCAAAACCCAACAGUGGUAUCAGAGCCACGGGUUGUUUUCUGUUAUAUUGAUGCAAAUAUUUUAUUUUCAAAGUUGAAAAAAAAAAAAAAAAAAAACAUGAAGUUUGUCAAAUUUUAAGAUAAUUACUUGUUCUUGUGAAAAACUAAUUAUUUGUAAAAUUUGAAUAAUUUGCUUUAUGAGUUGAAUUAGGUCAAAUUUAAUAAAAGAUAAAAUAAUAUGAUUAUUUUAUUAGUUUUAAAAGUUUGAUCUAAAGAGUUUUAUUUUUUGAAACCUCCAUAAGUUAUGGAUAUGAAAAGGUUUUAAAAAAAAAAUUGAUUCAAAGUUUUUUUGGAGUUACAAAAUUUGGUGUUAAUGUUUUAAAGGAUUCCAUAACUUAAGAAUAAGUUAUGGAUCACCAAAAGUUUUUUGUGUUACCUUGUUUUAUGAGUGAAUUUAGAUUAAUGAAUAAAAUUAUGUGAUAGUUGGUUUUAAUCCAAAUUAAUCUAAGAAUUGAUUCUAAAAUGUGUUUUUGUAACUUGUCCUCAAGUUAUAUGAAAAGUCACAUUUAAGAAUCAUAAAACUCAUAAAAAUUGGCAAAGGUUACAAAAAUGAAGAGUCUAGUUCUAAUUAAAUGGUUUUAUGACUCCAUAACUUGUCCUCAAGUUAUGGAGGACCAAGAGUCUCUUCAUUUAAUAAAAUAAAAUAAAAAAAAAAAAAGUGUAACCUUAAUUAAUUCCAUAAGUUAUAAAAUAAAGAAAAGUUAAUUCUUUUAUUAGUUUAAAGUCUUCCAUAACUUGUCCUCAAGUUAUGGAACUUGAAGAGUUUUUGGAUUAAAACUACUUUAAACACAUAAGUUAUGGAAUUAAUUAGUUUUGAAUAGUUUCAAAACUUGCCCUCAAGUUUUGGAAUUUGUAAAGUUUUCACUUAUGAAUACUUUAAUUCCAAGUUAGCCCUUAGAAUUUUAAAAGUUAAAAUUCAACCCUUAUACUUUAUAAUAUUAUAAGUUAAUAAUAUAUAUAUGUAUAAGAGUAAAGUCAGUCUUACCGCUAGUACGCCUCAUUCACGAAGCCGGUCUAUAAGGUGGGUAUAAGGUUGUUGCCUAUAAAAUGGCAACUUAAUGGGUGUCCACUCUCACCCACCGCUUGCUUGACUGGUGGAGGGUCGUUAGCCGAACGGGUUUGACAGGACUAGAAUUCUCCCUUCAUUAAAAGUAUUAAUGAUAAUACUAAGUAACUAAACUCUUAAUAAUACCCAAUCUUAGUUACUUAGGAAAAAUGUGAAUAAGGUGCUAAUCCAUGAAAUUACACUUUACACUUUGUCUAAGUCGUUAGUGGAGCGUGUGUGGUUAACCGGCACACUAACUUGGACUUAACAAGGUAGGUAAAGGGUGACUUAAUAUUUAUCAUAGUAUCGAUGGAGCGUGUGUGGUUAACCGGCACAUCGAUUGAGGGGUAAUUUAUUAAGGGUACCAAGUGAUUUGCAUGGUUACUUCACACCUUGUUUUGUGAUCCUCGGCAUCCCAGUCACAAAACCUGAAGGGCACACUCGAGAUUGAAACAUGCCUUUGAAAAGUUCAAUGAAUCUCAAAGAUCUAGGAGUUUCAAAACCAAUUAAAACCUAAUAAUACAUUUCGUUUAUCUUGGUGGAAAUUGGUGAAUCGUCAUUCACCUACCUUCAAAUAUUUUAUAGCUUGGAUUACGGCAUACCUCUUCUAAGUUAUAAAAUAGUUUGUUGGGUCCUAGCCUUAAUAUUUCAUAUUGGGUGUCAUAUUAAGGACUUUAAAUCAACUAUCUUGAAUAUCUCCCAAAAGAUGUCUGGUUUAGACACCUAUGAUCUUCCCAAAUCUCUUGAAACAAGGUUUCCUAAUGAAGAUGAUGUCCCAUGGAUAUCAUACUUCUUCACCUCUUCAAAUUAUUCUCCCUAACCCACAAGUUCUUGAAAAGUUUAAGGUCACUCAGGCCCUUUUGGCAAGGCAAGGUCUAGGUGUGGUCACAUCUUGGAGAUGUAGUCACAUAUUGACAAGCCGGGAGAGUUGGGUGUCAAAGUCUUGAGAAAGUUGGUGGUUCAACUACUUUCUAAGUCACAUAGUGAGUUCUUUUGGAACACCUAUGAAAAAGACUAUGACAAGACCCUUAAUGAUCUUAUCUAUUUGUUAAGAUCAACUUCCUAAAACUUUAUGGACAUUGACAAUGAUGACAUUGGAUAUCCAGUAAAGCAUUCUCUUCCCAAUGGAAAGGGAUCGGCUAUAGUCAACUCGGUUGACCAAAUGGUAAAGAGAAAAGCUAAGUCUGUGAUAGUCCUGUGUACCAUUAUCAAAGGGUCCAUAUGUUUGUAUUGCCAAAGAAAGGGCAUUGGUUGCGAAGCUGCCAAAUUUACCUAAGGAUGUUAAAGUCAAUAAGUUUGACUCUACUUCAGGUAAAAUCCACUAUCUAACUCUGUUAAGUUUCUAUUCUGAGAUUCUUGAUACAUGAUGUGACCGGGUCGCAUGGUGAUGGUUUAAGAAUCAAAGGAAAGUGAAGAAACUUAAAGGAAGAAUAUGCUGAAUCUGAUCGCAUAGAUGGAUUUCUAUCGCAUAGUUUGAAAAAUCGGAUUCUUGAGCUACUUCUUAGGAGUUAUGAGAUAUUGCUUAGGAAUAGAUAACAACAAGUUUUCAUAUGGAUUGUAAGGAUAGUUUUUCCGCAAAGUUUUAAAAUAAAAGGAAAUUUUUGAUUUUAUUUAUUUUAAAAUAUCCUUACAAUGGCAUCUGUGGAAAUUUUUGUUGCUUAUAAGAUUCCAUUAGUAGCAAGAGUGGAAGUAUGAAAUUGAUUCUUUCAUUUGUGGUAAUGUCUAAAUUUACCAAAUAAGGAAAGAUUCUCAUCACCCAAGUUUCAAUUGGACCGGAACUUGGAAUCAUGCAAGUUGUAUAGCAUGAUGAAUGAGAACUUUCAAGUUUUGGAAAAUUAAGACUAAUUACUUGUUCACAUGGAUGUGUGAGUCAAGUAAAGGACUUAGGGAUCGAGUACACAUUCUUGUGCACUGAUUAAGUCCACCACUAAAGAUCGAUAAGAAGAAUCAAAUAAGGCAGAAGGAUAAAAGUUUCUCAAAUCUGAAAAGAUGGGAGAGUACUUUAGUAUCAGUUUUGUGAUCAUCUUAAUGAUUAAGAAACCAUAUCAAAAUUAGUUCUCUAAGGAAAUCUUAGUGCAUUCUUAUGACUAAGAAGAGGAACUUGAAUUGUUGAAAUGGUUAAAUCAAGAAGAUGAGUCAUACUUCGUUCCAAUACAAGUCUUAGAGUCAUACUCCAAGAUUGUCAUUUGAGUGACAUGUCUUAAAGAAGGUUUAAAACACUUGUCAAAUGUAAGAGUAAAAGUUUUCUACUCUUGUACAUUUGAAAUUGGUAAGUUGUGAUGUUUUGGAUAAAACAAAGACCAACUUAGGCCAAUUGGGUAAAGUGUUUUUCUUGAUUAGAAUCCGCACUAUCUCUUGGAUGUUUGACAAGGGAGUCUUAUAUGUCAAGAGGACAGUGGGAGUCUUAAAGGUCUUGAAAGUCUCAAGAACUAAUCAAGAAUAAAACCUGAAGUUCUUCACUAGCACACGACUUGAGGUUUAUAACCUAUCGUGUUGACAUAUUCUGUGCCCAUUCCAGUUAAAGUUGGCUUUGCAUAUGAGUUCUUAGAGUUCUCAAUUGGUUGCAUAACAACUUGGAAGCAAUGGUAGGCCCUUGAGCUGCCAGGUGGCAAGAAAUUAAGAUUGAGUUCAGUCCAUAUGAGUUUGGAUUUGUCAUUAUCCUUGUCUUGUGACUAUGAUUUUGACAAUUCACAUGGAUAAGAACACAUACACCAUUAAAUCUAAGUGUCAUAAGGUUUCUCUCCGAUUCAUGAAAAUGAUGGUGAGGAAACACUUUCACUAAGUAGAUUUUAGCUAGAUAGCAAUUGUGAUAUUUGCAUUCUCAAAGUCGUUAGUGGAGCGCGUGUGGUUAACCGGCACACUAAUUUGGACUUGUGAGAAGUGGCAAAAAGGUCUAAACAUUAUGAUUACGGCAUCCCUCUUCAUAAUUGUUUAGAUACACAAGUGUGCUAUCUAAGGGAAGGUGUAUGAUUUUGAUAAAGUUUUAUCAAAACAAUCUAGUAUCAGAAAUCUGAACUUUGGUAAGAAAGUCAAUGAAGUAUUGAUUUCUAGAAGUCCAGCUGAUUUCUGAGUACAUGUCAAAGCUAGUGGGAGCAUAAGUGUUAUGCUAAUAAUCAUCAUGUUAGUGGGAGCAUGAUAAUUAUGAUAAGUAUUGCAAGUUAGCAAUGUUAAUUAUAGAAAACAAAAGUUUCAAUUGGGAAAAAGUUGUUUUGCUAUAAUUAAGGGAGAGGAAAUUAUACUUCAUCUCAAAUCUAUAAGCUUAGAUCGUGAGGUUUUAAUCAUUUAGUCAAGGAUAUAUAUGAAUUUCAUGUUGGAAUGGCUCAACAUAAGGAAAUUCUGUAUAUGGGUCCAUUAUUUGCGUUCUAAAAUUCGAUUAUGAUUACGGCAUCCCUUUUCAUAAUCUGAAUUAUGAGAACUUGGCAAAUUGAAAUGGAAAUGUUAUAGCAAAAGACUGGUUUAGUCUUUAUGUGAGACAUCAUGAAUCGUGUCCCAUAUGCUUCGGAUAUAGGAUCGAUUACAUGUGCUAUAUUCAUCCGUUCUAAAAUUUUCCAAAUGCCUGGGGCAUUAAGAAGGGAAAAGGUUUAGAACUGGAUAUGACUAAAAGGAUUAAACAAUUGUCGAGGACAAUCUAAGGUUUACCAAAGAUUGGUUGCUCAAGGACAGUUGGAAGUAUAGUGAUAAUUCUGGAAGGACCAUAUUGACAUAAUCUGUAAGGAGGCAACUCUUGUUCAGAAGUGAUAGUCAAAAUGGAAUCUGGAAAUGUUUCAAAGUUAGAAUUUUCAAUCUGUUUAAGAUUAGGAAACUUAAUGCAAGAAGGAUGUUUCCAAGGAGCUGAUCUCCUUUGGAAUACUCUGUAAUGUUUGUUGUCAAGUCUUUAUGACUUUGUGCAUAAUCAUUACAAGAGGAUCAAUGCAUAUAAGUUUAGAAUCUAACAGAUUUCAGUAAAUGGCAUGAAUUUGGAAUUCUUGCAUUUGCAGUAAGGAUUUGGGAGUGUGAAAAGAGAAUCAUUGAAGUUAUGUUCAAUUGAUCUAGUUCACAAAGUAAAGAUCAUAGACAAACAUAGUAUGCAUACUUGGUGUGUGGCAUGACUAGUGUUUAAGAAAACAUAGUGUACAUGCUUGGAGCAUGGGACAACUAUUGUUUUAAAUUCAAGAAUAAAGUUGAUAGCUGAAACAGUAUACAAUGAAUAAUGUGUAAUCAUAUGGUGAUAAAUAAAAGGUGUUUUAUUUAUGUUCAAAGAUUUGAUACCAUAUUGGAUUCAAUUAUUAUUGUGUUUCACUUUGCAUGUUUUGACUUCCCGAAUAAACUAGGUUAUUCUUCCGGAAUGACUAAGUUAUUCAAACCAUCCACAGUCGGUCAUAUGUUGGAAGUAGAUAUGAAUUAAGACUGUCAUGGGUUGGCUUGUAGAGGUCUAAGGUGUUGGACAAAGGGCUACAACACUCAUGAGUGCUCAUAAGUUCUGAGUAUUGGAUUCAACCCGCGCUCAUUGGAAUCACUUCAUGGAUUUUAUCACGAGUGAUCAUGAGACGAUAAUAUCUUAUAUUCUUCAAACCUAGAGAUAUGAGUUGUUACUAUGAGUUGAUAGUACAUUGAUUGCACGAAAACGCAUACGGUAACUCGGUGCUAUAAAACGUGCCUUUGUGUAUGAUUCAACAAGUAGUAGAACAAGCCAUAUGAGUCGAAGUUUAUCCGUUCCUUUUACCUUCGGGAUAAAAGCGAUAUCUGUGGGCCCCUCGAUGAUUUGAUGAUGACAAAUGGAAGUGCUCGGCCGGGCCAGGACUGAUUUGAUUUGUUCAAUUAGUCAGUCGUCAUAAAUCGGAAAUCGGGAAACAACAAAUGGACAGAGAGAAUGAUUAUAAUCCAUGUCUCAGUCCAUAUGAUAUCUAGAAUGGAGGAAUAUAUGAUCCCUUAUCUAAUGGACAAGUUCGUCUACAAGAUCAGAGUUCGACAGCGGCUUUAAGAGCUACGAUUGCCAGUUAGGUUUGAAGUCAUACGCAAUAAUAGUUUUAGACUUAUCCAAGUGGGAGACUGUUGGAUUAAUGUCUAAGUCCAUAACUAUAUUUGGUAUGUACUUGACCCGACCCGGCAUGGUCCAUUUGGGUUGCACUUCACCGACACAAUUUAUAUGGAUAAUCUUUUGAGAAUAGUAUGUUUAUGAUUAAUAUUAAUAUAUUAUAAGUUCUAAUAUAUUAAUAUGGAAUCAUAUUAUUUAAUUAGUAUUGAUCAAGAAUUAAUUUAGAAUUAAUUAAGUGAUCAAAAUGAACUAAUUAAAUAUGGACUCUUGUAUAUAUGGAAUGGGCCAAGUUCAUUUAGGUUGAGCUAAGCUUUCAUGGAUAGUCCAUGGAGUGUUUAACCCAUGGAUCAUAUGAAAUGAAAGGUCAUGGGUUUAACCCUAUUCUCCAUACUAUAUAAAGAUGUCCUUGGUUGGUGAAAUUGGCACUAGUGUGGAUACACUAAAAAAGGGCUAGCCAAUUUCACUAGAGAGAACCAAGUAAUCAUAUUCUCUAAAGUAUUCCAAGGUGUCUCGGUGAUUUGUGAUUCCACUUGAGGCUUCCACACUAUUGGGGCUAAGCUCUUAAAGCUUGAAGACAUCAAGCUACAUCAAGAGGUAUGUAUUCUAUCUUGUUACAUUCAUAGUUUUUGUAUGCUAGAUUAGGAUAAUACCUUGGAUGUUCUUAUUUGCAUGUAUAAUAGAGAAAGCAUAGAUCCAAGGUAUUUAGGGUUGCAUGUUCACUUAGGAAGUGUUAGAAUGCUCAAAACCCAACAGUAACAUCAAUGAAUAAAGGAGUGGGAAUUGGAAUUGAGGUUGUAGUGGUUGUAGAAAUGGGUGGAGGACAUGAAACAGUAGUAUUUGGAACUGAUUGGGUAAGAGAAAGAGGAGGUGAGUUUCGGUAACCUUCAUGAUCUGGUGAGGGAGGAUGUGAAUUACCUCUAAGUCAUCCUUCGUGUUAAGAGACAUCAUCAUCACCAGAUUCGGGUUCAGGCUGUGGAUCAGAUGGAACAUAGUCCGAGUCACUCGAUGAAGGAGCCUUUGGUUUGUAGGCCUUCUACUUAGUCUUUCGUUUCUUUGGAGCCGAAGGAGCAGCUUGCUCAGGCUUUCGCUUCUUGGGAGUUGAAACUUUAGAGGAUUGACCUUCCUUUUCCCCUUUCUUUUCAGGCUUCUUCCCUUAUUUCGCUGGUUUGUCUGCUGCGUCCAGCGAACUUUGCAUUUUAGGAUUAAGUUGCCUUGGUCCUGAAGGGGGGAGAUCCUUGUACUCAUUCAUCAGUUUGCUUUCAGCGGACACACAACGAUACAUUGGUUCCGAAACAGAACUAAUAAAUAUGAACUUUGAUGGAUCAGAAAUGAUUAUCUUCGUCGUGUGAAAGAUAGCAAUUGAUGGCAUUAAGGAAUCAACCAUUGUUGGAACUUGAAAUUUCUCCAUCGCCCAGUGAGUGACUAGAGUCCAAAACCUAGCACAAGAGAUUUCAGAGUAGUGAGAAGCAGAACUGAGAUUUUGAACCAGUUGCGACCAUAAGAUGGAUCGAAUGUCCAUGUUAACCCCAUGGUACAGACCAUAAAGAAGGGUCAUCAACGCCUUGCUUGCCCCAUCUGAACCAGCAACCCUCUUCGAAAAGCCUUUGAAGAGGAGGGUAAAAAUUCCAUUCCACUGAGGAGGAAGGAACGACUUCUUGAAGUUUGUAACAGUGGUGAGAACCUCAGUAUACCCCAUAUCAUAAAACAUUGAGAAGAGUUGAGUAGUAGAAACGGUAACAAGGUUGAUCAUGGAAUCGUCGAUAGCCAUCCUUAGUAACAAGCAGAAUCGAGUUUUGUAAAUCGGCGCUUUGUGAUUGAAGAUCCCAAAGAAGAUCCUCUCCUUGACCUUGUCAUAGACAACAGUUGAGUAGACUUGAGAAAGUAACGACAUUGGAACGUACUCCACCUUGGUUAGUGCAACAACAAGUGGUGAAUAUUUGAGGCAUUCAACCACUUGCAGCAUAUAUGGAUCACACUGGAACGGUGAUAGAUCAAUGAUGAGGUUCUGAUUUGGUUUGAUUGUGAGAAGAGAUGACUGGGCACUUUGUUCAUGAACUGAACAGGAAUCCGCCAUUGAUGAUUCUUGAAGAAAAAGAUGAGCAAUAGAGAGAGAAUACGUCGUAUAGCUCUUGAGAGGAUUUGGAAGUGAUAAGAGUAUAAACGGAAAUUGAGAAAUCGCUUUAUACCAUUACCAUGUGAGAGAAAAAUCUAGAGUGAUGGGUGCACAAUCCGCUGAUGUAUCGCCUGAAAAAGCGCGAUUUGACAAUUGUUGCCCCGAAAAGUGUGUCAGGAGGAGUGAGAAUGGAAACGAUUCAAUUUCAUGCGCCUUUAAAACCUUAUCCUUUCAUCUUUUCUUUAAAUUUUGAAAUGAUCCAAAUUCCCUAUGAGAUGUCGAUUCAUCCUUUCGCUUCAUAUAUAUUUACUCUUCGCUCUUAAUAGAGUGUAUGACCACAACAAAUUGAACCAAGCGCUGUAUUUGAGAAUUACCAGUUUGUACCACGAUCAAGACUUGUGAAAAAUGAUAAAGAUCUUCAUGCAAGAGUGUGCCAAUCGAAAAGAUAUAGAGAAAAUUAUUUUUGGGAUUUAAGUGAUGUCUAUAUAGACAUGAAACUAUGGAUCCCGUGCACGAAUCGCUUCCUUCAAAGUCAAGAGAGACUUAGAAGUGUCUGUGUGGUUUCCCGUUGAUAUAUGAUCAAAUGCUUAUUAAGAAACAUUUAAAGGCAUAUUUUCAAAUCUAAGCUAUAAUGGGUGGCUUCGCUUCAACCAAACUUCAGUACUUAACAGAAGACCGAAAGUUGGAUGAAGUACCUGUGAGACCAGUGUGGCCUGUUGAAUAAGUAUGUGAGAUAAUAUAUUCAGUGACUCAGUGAGAGUGAUGUUGAAAUCUUAAAAAAAUAAUAAUAAUAAAAACUGGAUCUUUUGGGAAGAAAAAUCAUGGUGUUAGACAAUUCAAAAAGAUCUCACAAAAAUAAAAAGAUUUUAAAGUAUAGACCGUCAAUUCGUUUAAGGCAUUGGUUUUCGAGUCUCACUUAGCACGUGGUGAAACGAAACUAAGAUCAUCAACACAGAUGUUGUGUAACCAUAAACCUCAGUGGUAGAUGCUGAGAGUCUCAAGGGUUACGAUUAUGAACCGAAAUGAGAUGAAGAAAUAAGAGUGCUUGGUUAAAGAACCAUAAGUAUCACUGCUAUUUAAAAGGGACCAAGAAGAUAACUUUUAACUUAAUGUGGGAAGAGUAAGGUAGCUCAUGAAUUCAGUGAUUUUAUCAGCCUAAUUGGGAAGAAGUGAUUGCUAUAUAUCGAAUCAGUAAGGCUUCACUCAAAGUCUUGGAGGCUUUGGUCGACAUGCAGCAACAUGCUUCUAGAGACACUUAGCUAGUAUAUAGAUAAAGAAUGUUAUACCUUCCCCAGUCUUCAUCACAAAAAGAAAAUAUUUUUGGAUUUUAUAAAAUCUUUCUGAAAAAUAAAUAAAAACAGAAAAGAAAAUAUUUUUGAUUUUUGUGAAUUUUCUGAAAAAGAAAUAAAAACAUAAAAGAAAAUAUUUUUGAGUUUUGUAACUGAAUUGAAGGCAUAAAGUAAAGUAAUCAAAAGAUAUACAAAGUAUACAAAAGAUAUGUAAGAUCCAAACCAUAAGAUGUAACAAUCGCUCUUUUUGAAAAAAUAUAAAAGGCAAAAUAGACCGAGCCUUCGGUUCAUUUCGGUUCCACAAAAAUUAGGAGCCGGAAUAGACCGAGCGUUCGGCUCAUAUCGGUUGUUAGAGAAUUUUUAUGAAAGCGAAAGCGAAAGUUAUACUUAAUGAAAUGAUUGUGGUUUUGGAACUGAUUCAGCUUCCAUCAUUUCUAAGCCUUGUAGUAUUUUAUUAAACGAUGCUUCAGGAAAGGCCUUAGUAAAGAUGUCAGCCAAUUGAUCAGAGGACCGAACGAAGUGAAUUUCAAAAUUCCCAUCUUCUACAUGAUCCUUGAUGAAUUGAUAUCGCAGUGCUAUGUGUUUCGUCUUGGAAUGCUGCACUGGAUUAUGACAGAUUUUGAUGGCGCUUUCAGACUCGCAAUAAAGAGGAAUCUUCUUCAUAUUUAGGCCAUAAUCUCUUAAUUGACUUUGGGUCCAAAUGACCUGGGAAGUGCAAGAUGCUGCAACAAUAUAUUCAGCUUCGACUAUGGAUAGUGAAACACAUGUUUUUUUCUUGGACUGCCAGCUAACAAGUUUACAAUCUAGUAAUUGACAUCCCCCUGUAGUGUUAUUUCGGUCCAAACCGCAUCCUCCAAGAUCGGCAUCAGAGAAUGCUUGUACGAAAAAUCCCAAUUUAGCAGGAUACCAUAGACCGAUAAAAGUGGUUCGCUUCAAAUAUCUGAAGAUGUUCUUAACAGCCACCAUAUGAGGUUCGCGUGGAUUAGCCUGGAACCUAGCAUAGUAACAAACAGAAAACAUAAUGUCUGGUCUACUAGCUGUUAGAUACAUUAGAGAACCUAUAAUUCGCCGAUAGAGAGUCAUACCAAUAGCCGGUUUCUCCAAAGAUGGUGUUAACUUCGUUCCAAAUGUCAUAGGAACCUUUACUUUGGAAUCUCCCAUCAUGCCAAACUUUGCUAGCAGUGUCUUCGUGUAGGCCUCCUGAUUAAUAAAUAUGCCUUCAGGUCCCUGUCUAAUAUUCAAGCCAAGGAAAAAGUUAAUUGGACCUGUUGAACUCAUCUCAAACUUAGUCUCCAUCAACUUCCUGAAUUCAGCUGUUAGACUGGGAUUUGCGGAACCGAAGAUGAUGUCAUCAAUGUAAAUUUGGACGAUCAUUAAGUGGUCACCCUCUUUCUUGUGAAAGAAGGUUGGGUCAACCGAACCUUGUUUAAACUUGGACAUUUUUAGAAAUCAAGUAAGGGUUUCAUACCAGGCUCUAGGAGCUUGCUUUAACCCAUAGAUGACUUUAUCCAGAAUAUAGUAGUGACCAGGAUACAUUUCAUUCAAGAAACCUGGUGGUUGCUCAACAUACACAGUUUCCUCUAAUUCUCCAUUCAGGAAUGCACACUUGAUUCGCACUGAUUCUAACCUUGCUACAGGGGCGAAGGUUUCUUCAUAGUCUAUACCUUCUUCCUGACAGUAUCCCUUUACAACCAACCUUGCUUUAUUACGAAUCACAUUCCCUUCUUUGUCCAUUUUGUUUUUGAAAACCCAUUUUAAUCCAACUACGGAUGCGCCCUUUGGUGUGGGAAUUAAUCUCCAAAAUCGAUUUUGCUCAAACUCAUGGAGUUCGUCUUGCAUUUCCUGUACCCAAUCUGAGUGAUCGAGUGUAAUAUUAACCGUUUCGGUUCUAUUUUUGAGAAGAAUGAGUUAAACAUGCAAAAUUCUACUUGAGAGAACAGAGCAGUUUGCUUCACUUUAAUAUGAGACUGAGUGAGGACUCCCUCAGAUGAUUCACCAAUUACUUGAGUUUUUGGAUGAUCUCCUGUCCAUUUUGUGAGAGGAGGGUAGUUUGGAUCAUAGGUGGGAUUCAAUUCGGCAUUGAUUUCCUUGUCCAAUUCUAAUUGAAAAUCUGAAUCAUCAUUCGUAUUAUGAUUCUCCCCCUCGAAUGAUGAGACGAUUUCAACAUCAGGAUCAGAAUGAUCCCCCUCGAAUAGGACGUCAUGAGUCUUUGCUUGUGAUGGAUUUUAUCCCUAGAAAGACGAAUCAGGGUUAUCUGGUGUGGAUGAACCCUCCCCCUGGAAUAUAGAGCUUUCUUUUGGAGGUUCGCUUGGACCUGGCUGUUCGGUUGGUCUUUUAUGUUCACUUUCCAUUUCUCUUGUUGCUUCAUCGAUAAUAUUCUUCAAGUUGUCAAUCUUGUUGUCAGCUGCCUUUGUCUCAGAAUUAAUUUCUCUCUCUGGUUCGUUAAAGAGCAACAUGUAUUCUUUAAAUGGAUUGGAAAUUGGGACCUAGACUUGACCAGAUGCUGGAAAGAUUUCCUCUGUUGGUCCUUUACUUGACUGAAGUUUCUUCACAUAAUCAUCAUCAAAAGUGACAUAAUAGGUUUCUUCAAUUUUCUUUGAAUGCUUAUUCAGAACCUUAUAAGCCUUUGAAGUUAGUGAGUAACCAAGAAAAAUCCCUUCAUCUGCCUUUACAUUGAACUUGUUUUGGUUCUCUUUGGAAUUGAAAAUAAAGCACCUUGAAUCGAACACAUGGAAGAAUUUGACGUUUGGCUUGGGAUUAUUCAAGAUUUCGUAUGGAGUGAUGGAAAAGCGCUUAUUGAGGAAGGAUCAGUUUUGGGUAUAGCAGGCAAUAGCUAUUGCAUCAGCCCAAAAGUACAAAGGUAAGGAAGUGAAGCUAAGCAUGGUUCGGGCUGCUUCACACAAAGAGCGGUUUCACCUUUCAACUAUGUCGUUCUGUUGUGGAGUGUAGGGAGCUGAGAAAUUGUGAGAUACUCCCUUAUCAACAAGAAAUUCUUCGAACUCUUGAUUUUUAAAUUCCAACCCGUUGUCACUUCGGACGUUUCUAACCACCUUUUGCAGUUGAAGUUCCACUUGCUUUAUAAAUACUUUAAGCUUUUGAGUCGCCUCUGAUUUCGGUUUAAGAAAGAAAACCCAAGUGAAACGUGAAAAGUCAUCAAUAAUUACCAAAAUAUACUUACUACCACACAUGUUUUCGAUCGCUUAAGUACCACACAAGUCGACGUGUAGAAGUUCAAGUGGUUCAACGAUCUUUGUGUUAACACGUGUGGGAUGACUCUUUCAGCUUUUCUUUCCCAUUUCUCAUGCAACGCACACGUGUUCCUUAUCAAAUUUGAGAGGGGAAGUCCUCGUACAUGAUCACCGAUAACCAACUUGUUGAUAUCCUUAAAGUUGAGAUGUGAGAGCCUUCGGUGCCAGAGCCAAUUUUCAUCAGAGUGUGAUUUUGAAAAAAGGCAUACAACUGGCUUUCCUCGAAUUGGGUUAUGAUUUAGAGGAUACAUCUCUCAUUUUCUCUUGGAUUUUAACAGGAUAGUCUUCGUCUUCUUUUCAACAAUCUCAGAACCUUCAUCAUCGAAUGAAACUUUCAAGACAGUUCCUACGACCAGUUGAGAGACGCUUAUGAGAUUGUGUUGUUAUCCCUCUACAUAUGCUACCUUUCAGAAUGAGAAUUCUCCGUUUGUAAUCAUUCCUUAGCCUUUGAUUGUGCUAUAUGAAUUAUUCCUGUAUUUGACACAUCCACCAUCCUUAAGGGACCGAAACUCCCUUAGCUCUCCCUUCCUUCCUGUCAUGUGACGUGAGUAACCACAAUCAAUGUAUCAUUCGUCGUCGAACUGCUCGUCACUAAUAACUUGCAAAAUUUAAGCAGAUUUAGGAACCCAAAGUUUCUUGGGUCCUCGUGAUCCUUUUACAGGACAAGGAAUGGCAGCAAAAAGAUCAACCAAAUAUGUUCUUUUUAUUAACGUGGUUUCAUCUUUUCUUUUGAUGGUAAAAACUUUGAUUUUGUUGUUUUCUUGUUUCGGUAUAUCUAAAGCCGACUAAUUAUUUUUGCUUUGAUUCUCAUUUAAACUUUUCUUUUGAUUCCUAGGGUUAGCUAACGUCUUCUUGGCAUGAACUUCAGGGUGCAAGACUAGCUUUCCCUUUCCUUUGAUAUCCUUAACUGGGUUCAACUUCGGUUGUUGAUUGACUUUAGGAGUGAAGCUAGUCUUUUGGUUCUUAUUACUGCUCGAUUCAACACCGAAACCAUUUCUUCAGUUUGUUUGGCUGCAAGACUGAUACUGAGUACAUGGACCUUUAUUUGUCUGAGGGCUUACUUUCGUCUGUGGAUUCGAUACCUUGUGAAUGUGAUUAGCAUUUUGAGAAUUACAAAACUGUUUUCUCUCUUUGAGAUUCUUCUGGUACCUUCUGUUCCUUUGAUGUGUUUGCUCAGCAAGUUGUUUUUGAGAUAUGUGAAUUUUUGUAUUUGGUUUCGGUUCUUCUUUACGAGCUUUGCUUGGAGAUGAUUCUAUAGAUGCCUUUUCCGGAUCGUCUUGAAUUUCUUUAGUACCUCUUGUACUUGGCUUAUCAAAGCUUGAAGGCUUGUUGAGAGGUUCAGCCACAUAUCUACCCUUGACUCUCCACGAGGUUUGUUCCGACAGACCUACUGUUUCACAUCCAUCAGCAUUUUCUUCAUCUACCAAAGAAGUUAGCUCAACUGUUUGCUUUUUGGUAACUCUAGUGGUGGCAUAUACUUGAUUCGGUACCGUUUGCACCUUUUUGUAUACCACUGCCUUUUCUUUAAGGACUUUGGACUUGUCCUUGGACAUACGAGCGAAAGCAAUCGAGUUUUCAGAUAUGAGAGGUUUUGCCGGUUUGGGUUCGCUUUUUAGGAAUUCAGAGCAGUCAACCUCAUCACAUUCAAAAUUUUCAGUCAUAUAACUGUCCUCAUCAAAUUCAGAAGUAGUUUCCACAUUCAUCUUAUUUCUGAACUUAAUUUGGUAAUCAAUGAGUCAAAUUUUUGCAUGGUUUCGGUCUUUAUUUUUAAUUUGUCAUUUUCGUCCAAUAGAUUCCUAAGCAUGUCCUUAUGGUAUUUGGACUUUAUAAAGGACUCAAUUUUGUCUAGACCAAUCCUGUAAGCAUCCGAAACCUCAUCUGAUGAGACAAUAAAUUCACAAUUGUAGCAAUCUACAUCAACUUCAUCCUCCUUAAAUUCAAGAAAUGGCAAAAUCAUUUUGUGAACCUUUUUGCCAAUAUCACAAUUCAAAUGUAACUGAGUAAUAUUAGUGUAAAGACGUUUAGCUAUUAAACAAAAAACAUUCCGUUGUUUUAAAAACUUCAAAUUGUCACGUUGUAAAUAAAUUAACUCAUCUCUCAUUCUAACUAAAUCUAACUCCGUCUUCUCGAUCCUCAUCCUUCGCUCCUCACUCUUGGAUGUCACCCUACUAAGUCGAUCGUUUAAGUUAGCAUUUGUGAGGCGUGUUUGCAUUAAACUUCCACUUAAAUUAGAAAUUUUGAAUUUUAAUUCGUUUAAUUCCUUUUCAUAGGUUGUUACAGGUAUUUUAGGUGAUUCUAGAAUGGAUUGUACCUUCUUGAUCAACUGAUUGCAGUCAUUGAUCCUUUCACUCACAAGCUUGGCUGCAAAACACUUGUCUUCAUUUUGAUUCGCCUCAUCAUGCUCACCUUCGGUUGUGUAUCCCCUCAUCUAUGACACUCCAGCUGUCACCAUCAAGCAUCUCCCAGCGAACUCAUCACUACCUUCUUUUGCCACAAAAGCCCUGCCACGUGUGGGUUUACGUACCUAUUCAUCUUCAGAGUCUAUAGACUAGACCUCCAUGCUACCGAACUCAUCAUCAACAACAUUCUCCUGCACAAUCAAAGCAUUCAUAGAAUUGUUAGUAGCUUUCUUCUUCUUUAUCUCCCCCAGCUUGCGCAUAUGAUAUGCUUCAUCAUCUUCACCCUCCUUCUUCUCUGACACCUUUCUUAACAUGCAAUCUUUGGCAAAAUGGUCUUUGCCAUGCCAGAAGUUGCAAUCGUAUCCUGAGUCUCCCACCAGUUUGCUCUCCUUCUUCUGUUCUUCUUUCGGAGGAUUACUUUUUUUAUCCUCUUUUGCCUUUUCUGAGUUGUAGCUUCCUUGCCAGUUUCGGUUCUUGGCAACAGGGAACUUUUUGCGAGCUAACCGUUUCGGGUUGGAAACCAUCAUUGCAUACUCUUCGCUUGUCAGAUCACAUUCUGAAAUUUCAGACUCUUCUUCAUCUUCUGCCACAUUCUUCGCCUUAGAGAGAAGGGCCAAGGGCCCCAUACCAGACACCACUUUCGCUUCCUUUGUCACAAGACUUUCAUGCGACUUGAGAAUACCCACCAUCUUUGCCAAUGAAUAGGUCUUAAACUGCUCAUGAGCCUUCACAGUUGAUGCCACAACCAUCCAUUCGGGUCUUAAACCAUUCAGAAAUGUGAGCUUCUGUUCGAUCACUUCUCUUCCAAUACCGUGCUUAAUCAUCUUACUCAAAAGGGGGUUGAAACGAUCGAAUGCCUGGAUAAGUUUUUCAUCUGGCUUUCGUUGGAAAGCACCAAACUCAGAGAGCAAUAGAGUUUGGAUGGAAUGUUCCAAGUCCUCAUCAAUGGAAUACAGCUCUUUGAGUCUAUCCCAGAUCUCUUUUGCUGUGGUGCAUGGGCUUACCAGAUGAAAGGUAUCGGACUGCAAAGCAAGAUCUAAUCAUUCUCAUGGCUUUAACAUUACACAACAACUUUUCUUUUUCGUCUUGGGGAAUCAUCUCUACGCAAGUUAAGAGUUUGUUGUACUCUUUUUGAGUCAUCAUGGUUCUAUUUGUUCCAGAAUGAAUGGAAGGACCCAAUGUUAUUGCUUCACAGAUAAGAUAAUCGUUGUCUUCAGAACCAACGACGUAGUCUUUGAAGUGAUGCGUCCAAACUUCAUAAUCUUGUGUGUAUAGAAUCGGGAUCCUAAUUGUGGAUCCAAUGUUGUUGGAGAUAUGGAUUGGAUUGGUUUGUGAAUCUUCGAGAGACAUGAUGACCUUUUUCAGAUAUCUGCUAAGAAUCAGACUUGUAAAGAUUGAAUUAGGGUUUUAUCAAAAGCAAGAAACAACGUCAACGAAGAGAUGACGACUCCUAAUGAUUCGAUAAAAGCUGAAACCCUAAAAUUGUUCUUCCAACAGAAGAGAUGCAUAUAUAUUACACAGUCUCCUGCUCUGAUACCAAUUGAUGAGAUUAUGAUUCUCUUAGAUCGAUAGAUUCAAACAGAUAUUCAAGGAUAAUGAUAGUAACAGAAAACGAUAAAUACAAAUAUGAAUCAAACGUGUGUCGAAUGAUUAAUAUGCUCCACCUCAGAAGAAUUCAAUGUGAAUUGCUACUAUAGAGGUGUGCGAGGGUUACAAUGCAAGAUCUGUGUAAAUAAUAAUCAAGAAGCAUCUUAAAUAUAAUGCAUGCAUGCACUAUAUAUACUUAAACCCUAAAAUAAAACGCGGCUGGACAGGCCCAGACCGAGAGUACUAAUGGUCCGAACAUAAAGCCUAAUGACGCAAUCUCUUGGACUCAACAAACGGUCAACAACAUUCAAUGUCCAACCAAGCCAACAUCCACCACGAAGUGGUGACCUCUUGGCCACAUCGUGGGUAUGUCCAGACAAAACAACCAAGAAGCUGAAUACCCACCACGACAGGGUGACCUCUUGGUCACGUCGUGGUUACUGCCAUAUGCCAUUUUUUCUUUAUAAGGAAUUAAUCCAUUAAGUCCUUUGCUCCAACUUUCUAGAAGGCCUCAUUGCCCACAAAUGAUCCAUACAAAUCAUUACUUUAUGGACAUGCAUGUCCAUUGCAUUUCUCUCUUAAUACUAGGUCAAAAUGGGUAAGAAAUAGAGUCAAAGCUCCAUGCAUGGCACCAAUCAACAUGAAAUACUAAAUAUGAACCAUAUGAUGACCAAGGAACCCCAAUAAGUGAUAAAUUUGCCAACUUUAUGAAAACCAUUCAUUCAUAAUAACAUAUUAUAAAGGAACAGAGCUUAAAACCUAGAUCUACAAAAGAUGAACUAAAAAGGUGAGAACUUGGAGGCUCGCAAUAGUCCAUAGGAUGCACCAAGAGAUGGAGAUGAACUUGCUAGCUUAUCCUUAACAAAACAUAGCCUUCCUUCAACCUUCAAAUGACCAAAACACCAUCAAAGAGCUCACAAGACAAGAGGAUAGACUAGGGUUUUGAAAAGGUGGAAUAGAGGCUGAAGAAGAUGCCCUAAUCUUGGACUUAGUGGCCUUAAAUAUGGUAGAAAUCCUAAAAAUCGUGAGAUGGGGUUACAAUAUCCACCACAUCAUGACCUCCCACUUGCCACGUUGUGGUUCUCAUUAUAGCAUGCGAUCUGGAAGUUUCAUGUCACUUCGUGGUACUCGAUAUACCACAUCGUGGCAUAUGAUUCUCUCUAAAAACUAUCUUUGUCCUUUAUGAAUCUUCAAUUGAUCCAUUCUAGAAUGUAACAACCCAAUUUUCAUAAAAAAUUUAAACUUUUAAUUUCACAAUAUUAACCAUAGAAAAUACAAAGAUCCCAUUACACAUCCAUGUUAUUCUGAAAUUUUGAGUACAAAGAGCUAAUUUCGAAACACUAGAGAAUGCAUGCCUUGUCAUCAAGUCGGGCCCUUGCCCUUAUCAAUAGAAGUACCUGAAACAUUCAAAUAAACUAUAAGAACAAGCUUAGUGAGUUUCUUAAUCACAAAAGUCAUGCUUAUACAUAUACAUACAAUUUGCCAUGGACUCCCUCCACGGUCUUUCAAUGGAAUGCCAUGGGCUACCCCCAUGGUCUUAUUUCCUCAUGCCAUGGGCUCCCCCCAUGGUCUUCACAUGGACCCAUACAUAAAUCAAAUAACAUAUCAUUUCACAUUUAACUACAAAGCAUAUCAUAUAAAUUAAUGGGCCGACCUUGGUGCCUUCGACCCAUGAGUGUGGUGAGAAGACUCACCUCACCAGUAGCACUGAAUGACAAGAUCCAACUCCCAAAUCACAGCUCCGAACUCAAUUGCCUACAGUCAUCAUGUGACUUACUCCAUCAAAAUCCCGAAAUACCCAAAAUACCCUCACAUUCAAACUUGGUCAACCAUGUCCAAAGUCCAAGUCAACAGUCAAGGUCAACAGUCCAUGUUGAUCCAACUUGUAAUGCAUGUUCCAGUUAUCAUUUAAUUUAUAAGUUUUUUAGGGUUUUAUGCUAAAAUUUGAUGAGUUGGGGAGCCCAACUCGAUGAGUAGAGAUCGUUUUUGGACGCGGGACUUAGGGUCUUCUCGACGAGUUGGAAGACCCCCACUCGACGAGUAGGCAGUAUAAAGGAAAACCCUAAUUUUCAAGGGUUUGUACCAUAUUUAAGGAACUUAUGGGUCAUUUGUGGCCUCCCUCAUCGUCCUAUCUGUCCAGAGAGAAAGCCUAGCCGCGCUUUAGUGUCUUCUUGAGUGUGUGUGAGCUUUGGAGAGUGAAUCUUGUGCUUUUUGGAAGGAAACUUGAAGGUUGAAGAGAUUUAAGUGAGGGGAGGGCUUUAGAUCUGGCAUCUAUCUGGUGUUAGCAUCCAUUUGGAGGUAAAAAGUUGCUACCUUGAUCUCUAUUUGCUUAUAUCUCAUCUUAUGAAAGAAUAUGGUCACUUUUGGUGCAAAAUGGUGUCAUACUCAGAUUUGGACUUGUCAUUAGGACAUGGUUCCAGAUAUGGACACCUCUAGGUCUUCAUGGACAUAAAGUUGCUCCCUUUACCUAGUAUAGUCCCUUUUCCAUGUCCUAAGCAUUGUAAGAACCCUAGAUUUAGUGUUUUAGCCAUUGGAGGCCAUGCAUGAAUGUGCAGUUUGCAACUUUAUGUGGUAUUUCGAUCUUAAGGGACUGGAUCUAUAGUUUGGAGGUUUGGAUUCGACUAGAAGGACUGAUUAUGUUAAGGCAAGGGAAAAAUCGACGAGAUGCCUUGGUGACUCGAUGAGUUGGAGCGGGUUUUCCCGUUUUCAGUCUGUAGAGUAAACCCGGCGAGUUGAUAAGAUAACUCGACGAGUUGGAUCAGGUUUUUCUCAUUUUCGGUCUGACGAGUAACUCAACGACUUGAUGAGGCAACUCGGUGAGUUGGCUAGGGUAUUCUCUGGUUUUCUGAACACUGGAGGAACUCGACGAGUUGCUAGAUGCACUCGAUGAGUUGGGUUAACAUGGACUAUUGACCUUGAAUUUGACUAGGGUUGACCAAGUUUAACCUUAAGGUUAUUUCUGGCAUUUAUGGAUUUUCACAAGCUAGUCACAUGAUGAUUGUAGGCAAUUGAGUUGGAGCUGCACGUUGGGACUUAUCUGAACUUAUCUCAUCAGUUCAACAUCUUUGAGAGGUGAGUCUCCUCACCAUACUAAAGGGUCGAAGGCACGAAGACCGACCCAGUUUAUGAUAUGUGGUAUACUAGUUUAUGUAGUGUUAUGUAGCAUGUUAGCUGGUUAUGUGCUAGGAGGUAUGGUAGUUGUAUAUGUGGUAUACUUGUAUGGAAGACCAUGGGAGAGCCCAUGACACUUGGAUGUAAGGCCAUGUGGAGUGCCCAUGGAUUUCCUAUUAAAGACCAUGGGGGAUCCCAUGACACUUAGAUGUAAGACCAUGUGCAGAGCCCAUGACUUUCCUAUUAAAGAUCAUGGGCUCCGCCCAUGGCACUUAGGUGUAAGACCACAUGAGGUGCCCAUGGCAUCCUGGAGUAAAACCCUGGGGGAACCCACGACAUCCCUAUAUGUUGUAUGCUUGGCUUAUGUGGUUGAUGUAGCUUCUAUAGCUAAUACGAUAUAUGUGAUUAUGUGGACUGUGUGUGGUAUGCUCUGGGGAACUCACUAAGCAUUAGCUUACAGUUUGUUGAUUUGUUUCAGGUACAUCUAAGCCAAGGGGAAGGAUAAGGCUUGAUGGCGUGGCAUGCACUCUUCGAUAUUUGUUUUGAGGGGACAUUCUGAUAUUUGAAAUAAAAUGUUGAUGUUAUGGAUUUUGAAAACAAUUGUCAUUGAUAUUUCAUAUUUCAUGGGAAUGUUUUCGUUAAUUAAAAAUGAAAAUUUUAUUUGAAAAUUUGUGUCAGGACUCAAAACUAAGGAAAUGGUAAAAUUGUUUUCAAAAAUCAAAAGUUAAAAAAUUCUUAAAUGGAAAAAGAGGAAAGUGCAAGGUGCGUGAUCAUUCGAGCUCAAGUAAGUGGUUCCCUAAUAUGUUAGCCAUGUGGUACUGAUAAUUGGAUUAUGAUAGUCGGAUGGAUAUUGCUAUGUGUAUGCUUUUAAAAUUGUAUAUGGUUAGGAGCUUAUAACCUUAGAAUGAUUGAUUUUGCCUUAUUUCCUGUUCCUUGUCUGGUUGUGGUUCUAGGGUAGAAUCUAUUAUUCGAAAGUAUAUUUGAUCCUGUUCUGUGUAUAAUUUGCAUGAAUAAAGGCAACCUGUUAUGAUGAAGUUCUGGUUUGUUAUGGAUGGAGCAAAUCUUAGGAUAGCCUAGGAUUUGAGUUAUGCGGUAGCCUGGGAGAUAUGUUUUGUUUUGGGACGAAUUAGAGUCAUCAGGUAGAGCCUUGCGGAAGGUACAAGUAGGUUUGGAAUGUAGUAUUGGACCCAUACUACUAAAAGCACAAGACAUGUACCCGAACCAAUGUUAGAUCUAGAGGCUCUAAGGAGAGCCGGUGUGGGAGGAUCCCCUUUUUGUACAUCCUGAUCAUUAUGUUUUAUGAUAUUGCAGUUCAGUAUGGUGGUGACACAAUUUGGAGCAGAGGGAUCCGGAUUAGGAUCCAGAUUUGGUUCUGGCGACGGUACCGAGCCCAUUGAUGAGAGGUUGCGCGAGCUCAUUGCAAUCGAGGUUACGAGGGGAAUCCUUGACGCUACCCCAGUGAUUUUUGGGACAGUGAAGGAAGGGAUGAUGGAGAUUUUUGAGGAGAGGCUCAGGUCAUUCAGAGCUGAGAUUGCUGCGGGCCAUAUCGGGGCCCGAACUCCCUUGUUCCGGGAGUUCAAGGCAUAUGGGGCGCCAUAGUUUUUAUGGCCAGGGACCCCAUAGUUAGCCAACUCUUGGAAGCGGACAUGUAGAACACCCAGUGCACGAGUUCCUACCUUGAUGUGGAAAAUAUGAGUUUUGUUUCAUGUAUGUUGAGGGAUCGAGCCUGAGAUUGGUGGGGAGAGGUGACUAGCCAGGUGGGAGCAGCCGGUAUGGCUGAGAUGAUGUGGUCAGAGUUUGUUAGGCGAUUCAAUUUGAAGUUUGCACCACCUAUUAAGGUGCAACGGCUAGUGAGGGAGUUUCAUGAGCUCUAAUAGACCACCGAGACUGUGGCGGAGAUCACCGCCAAGUUUCGGGAACGAGCACUAUCGAUCCCACAAUAUACUAUAGAUGAGGAUAUGAGGAGGACGAGGUAUCAUUCCAUACUGAGGGAUGAUAUCCCAGAGUUUGUAAGUUUUACAGGGUGCAAAAACUUGAAUGAGAUGGUGGAGA